This 64350-nucleotide long non-coding RNA is filed under the name Hordeum vulgare. RNAcentral's name for it is "long non-coding RNA (HVUL_LNC019543)". Lineage: Eukaryota; Viridiplantae; Streptophyta; Magnoliopsida; Poales; Poaceae. The record is from RNAcentral.
CCAACUUAACUUUGGAACAUGUGAUGCGUAGGUUGGAUAUCAUUGAAAAUAAAGUUGCUACGAUUGAACUCAUUGAGAAUUUGGAUAAAAAGAUCCACAAUCAAAUCACUCAGUACGGAUCCAAGGUGGGAAUGGCUUUGAAAAAUCUAAAGGAGAGGGAACCCACAGUUAACAAAAACUAGGUCAUCAUUCCGCUAGGAUUGGCAAACUAGAGGAUGUUAUAACCAACUUGGGUUCCGCUUUUGCCGCUGUGCAGAACACUCCAAUUUUUACCCACAAUAAGGCCACCAAGUUUGUUUUUGUUCCUAAAAAUAGUGGUGAACCAUCUAGUAAUAUAGAUGAAGACCUUAAGAUGAUGAGGGCUAUUUAUGGUUUGAGCACCAAAGACGAGGAUAUGUGAUUCUUUCACCUUAUGCCUAGCUAAGGGCGUUAAACAAUAACGCUUGUUGGGAGGCAACCCAAUGAAUUUAUAUUUGAUUUUUGCUUUCUGUUUUGUUGCGUCCACACCAUCAUAAUUCUGUUAUGAUUGUGUCUUUUGUGUUUGAGCCAAGUAAAACCUUUAUGACUAGUUUGGUGAUGGUUGUUUGAUCCUGCUGGAAAAAGACAGAAACUUUUCGCUCACGAAAUUAUUUUUCAUUUUAAUCCAUAAAGAGAUUUUGAGUUGAUUCUUUUUGUUGCUGGUUGAUAUGGCAAUUGCCCAAACUGUCGUAAUGUUUCAGAAUUGUUGAGAUACCAGAAGUAUACGAAGUAUACAGAUUGCUACAGACUGGUCUGUUUUUGACAUAUUCUGUUUUUGUUGUGUUGGUUGCUUGUUUUGAUGAAACUAUGUAUAGUAUCGGGGGGGGCGGGUACUGAUACGUCUCCAUCGUAUCUACUUUUCCAAACUCUUUUGCCCUUGUUUUGGACUCUAAUUUGCAUGAUUUGAAUGGAACUAACCCGGACUGACGUUGUUUUCAGCAGAAUUGCCAUGGUGUUGUUUUUGUGCAGAAAUGAAAGUUCUCGGAAUGUCUUGAAACUUUACGGAGAAUAUUUAUGGAAAAUAUGAAAAAUACCUGUGCAAAGAUCCACCGGAGGGGACGGGCCAGUGGGCCACAAGCCCUGUAGCCGCGGCCUCCCCUCUGGUCGCGGCUACGAGGCUUGUGGGGCCCACGUGCCUCUGCCGCCCCCAAUUCCAGCGCUAUAUAUUCCCUUUCAUCCCGGAAAAAAUCAAGAGAGAAGAGUUCAUUGCGUUUCACGAUCCAGAGGCGCCUCCACAUCCCGUUCUUGCCCUGGAGGGCAGAUCUGGAGUCUGUUUUGUGCUCCGGAUCAAGGAGAUCGUCGCCAUCGUCAUCAUCAACCUUCUUCCCUCUCCAAUUCCAUGAAACUCUUCAUCGUUCGUGAGUAAUCUAUUCAUAGGCUCGCUGGGCGGUGAUGAGUAUGAUGAGAUCUAUCAUGUAAUCGAGUUAGUUUUGACGGGGAUUGAUCCCUAGUAUCCACUAUGUUCUGAGAUUGAUGUUGCUACUACUUGGCUAUGCUUAAUGCUUGAAACUAGGGCCCGAGUGCCAUGAAUUCAGAUCUGAACCUAUUAUGUUGUCACCAAUAUAUGUGUGUUUUAGAUCCGAUCUUGCAAGUUGUAGUUACCUACUAUGUGUUAUGAUCCGGCAACCCCGGAGUGACAAUAACCGGAACCACUCUCAUUGAUGACCAUAGUUUGAGGAGUUUAUGUGUUCACCAAGUGCUAAUGCGUUGGUCCGGUUCUUUAUUAAAAGGAGAACCUUAAUAUCCCGUAGUAUCCAUUUGGACCCCGCUGCCACGGGAGGGAUGGACAAUAGAUGUCAUACAAGUUCUUUUCCCUAAGCACGUAUGACUACACACGGAAUGCAUGCCUACAUCACAUUGACGAACGGGAGCUAGCCACAUAUCUCUCCGUGUUAUAACUGUUGCAUGAUGAAUGUCAUCCAACAAAUCACUGAUCCAUUGCCUACGAGUUUGUCCCACUGCUAUUGUUACUUGCUGCUGCUGUUACUUGCUUUGCUCUGCUGCUGUUACUACGGUUGCUGCUACUGUUACUUGCUUCUACUAUUACUUGCUUCGUCAUGCUGCUGCUGCUACUACUGUUGCUACUACUGUUACUUGCUGUUGCUGUUACUUGCUACUGUUGCUAAUUGCUACUCCUAUCACUACUGCUGUUCCUUGCCACUACUGUUACUCGUUACACUGCUGCUACCUGCUACAAUACUUUUCUGGUGCCAUUGAUACUUCAGUUAGGAAUAAUCUGUCGUCAACAGAUUCUUUCCUAGCACCGUUGCUAUCAUACUACCUUUGCUGCUUAUAUACUGCUUGCAGAUACUAAUCUUUCAAUUGUGUUUGAGCCAACAACUCAACUGCUAAUACUGGAGAAUAUCCUUUCAUUCCCAUCGUGUCGAACCAACAAAUUUGGGUUGAAUACUCUACCCUCAAAACCUGCCGCGAUCCCACACGCUGGUGGGCCAUUGCAAGACAAUUGCUAAUUGUUGAGCAACUGGAAACAACUCUUUUUUGGCACCGUUGCCGAGGAGGAAUAGCUAUAUUCUCUGAGUCACUUGGGAUUUAUAUCUUGUGAUCACUAUGAAGAAUCGGAAAGAUCUGAGAACCAAAGUCUUGCCCUCAACUCUGAGGGGAGGUAAGGAACUGCCAUCUAGCUCUGCACUUGAUUCACCUUCAGUUAUGAGUAAGUUUGCGACACCACCUCGUGCUAGAAAUCUUGAUAUGUCGCGUGUGCUAGAUGAUGCUAGAGAUGCUACUGCUAUUGAUGAUGCUUAUGAUGAUACUAUGCCUGAUACUGCUAGAGAUGCUAUGCGUGAUACUGCUAGAGAUGCUAUGCCUGAUACUGCUAUCCAUGAUGCUAUGCUUGAUGCUGCUUUGCCUGAUGAUGCUAGAGAUGCUAUUUUGCCUGAUUAUGCUAUGCUUGAUACUGCUAGAGAUACUACUUUGCCUGAUAUGCCACUAGGGGUAUUCCUUGAUGCUCAUAUUGCUAGAGUUAUUGCCAAUGCUCGUGAUGCUUCUGAAACUCUCGAUACUAUUGAGAUAGAACCUGCUUUUGCUCCUGCUAGAUCUAGCUCUCCUAGAUAUGAAUUGCCUGAUAUACCUGAGGGUUAUGUUAUGGAGGGAGAGAUAGCUGAGGAUUUUCUUGCGUGUAAGGAUGGCUAUGACGCUGAGAAAUUACUUCUCAAGUGGAAGGAAAAAUCUCUGAAAGCUAGGAUGAAAUACAACCCGAAGUUUGCCACUUCACCUAUCUUUAUCACCGAUGAGGAUUAUGAAUUCUCUGUCGACCCUGAGAUAAUCUCUCUUGUCGAAUCUGAUCCUUUCCACGGUAAUGAGUUUGAGACGGUCGUAGCCCAUCUUACCAAACUACACGAUAUAGCCACCCUUUUCACUAGUGAGGAGAAGAUCCGCUACUACUAUAUCCUUAAGUUGUUUCCUUUCUCUCUAAAGGAUGACGCUAAAUCCUAGUUCACUUCUCUUGCUCCUGGAUGUGUGAGUAGUCCCCAGGAUAUGGUCUAUUACUUCUGUGAGAAAUAUUUCCCUGCCCAUAAGAAGCAAGCUGCCUUGCAGGAAAUAUACAACUUUGCUCAACUCAAAGAAGAGUGUCUCCCACAAGCUUGGGGGAGGCUCAUCCAGCUACAGAAUGCUUUGCCUGAUCACCCUCUUAAGAAGAACGAGAGACUUGAUAUCUUCUAUAACAGACUUACCGAUGCUUCUAGAGACCACCUAGAUAGUUGUGCCGGUUGUGUUUUUAGGGAACGAAUUGUAGAACAAGUUGAGAUCCUACUGAAUAACAUCUUGAUCAACAAUAAUGCUUGGACUAUUCCCGAACCACCUCCUAAGCCAUAUCCCAAGAAAAGAGGUAUUCUAUUCCUCAGUCCUGAAGAUAUGCAAGAAGCCAAGAAAUCUUUGCAAGAGAAAGGCAUUAGAUCUGAAGAAAUCAAAAAUCUACCGCCUAUCGAAGAGAUCCAUGCUCUCGAUAACCCGAUACAAGUAGUAGAGGUGAAUUCUCUGCGUAGAUUCAAUGAGAGUGAUAUUCCUUUUGAUAAACCUGCUAGCCUAUGCUUUGAUGAAUUUGACAACUUUGUUGCCAAACAACAAAGUUUCAAUGAUUAUGUUAGCAGACAAUUGGAACAACGUACUCACAUGCUUAGUCAUUUAAGUGCUUGUGUAGAGAGAAAUGUCAAUGAUCUGAAGCUUCUGAGUAAACAUGCCUCAAUGAUUACUACUCAGGUAGAACAAGUACUUAAAGCUCAGAAUGACGUGCUCAAUGAAUUAAUGACAACUCUGUCAGAGUCAUUACUAGAGGAGGCAAAAUGACUCAGGAACCCUUGUAUCCUGAAGGCCAUCCUAAGAGAAUUGAUCAACAUUCUCAAGGUAUUAAUGCUCAUACACCCAGUCAUCCUAAGAAUAAGAAGAAGGAUGAUAGAAACCUACAUGUCAGUUCACCAAAUACUGUAACACCUGAAGAACCAAAUGAUAUUUCUGCGUCUGAUGCAGAAACACAAUCUGGUGAUGAACAUGAACCUGGUGACAAUAUGGACAGCGAUGUUCAUAAUAAUGCUCAACCUAGCAAUGAUAAGGAUGUGGAGAUUGAACCUACGGUUAAUCCUGAUAACCCACAACCUAAGAGGUACGAUAAGAAUGACUUCACUGCUAGGAGGCAUGGUAAAGAAAGGGAGCCAUGGGUUCAGAGACCCAUGCCCUUUCCUCCUAAGCCAUCCAAGAAAAAGGAUGAUGAUGAUUUUGAGCGCUUUAUUGAAAUGUUGAGACCCGUCUUUCUGCGUAUGCGGUUAAUUGAUAUGCUCAAAAUGUCUCCAUAUGCCAAGUACAUGAAAUAUAUCGUGACCAAUAAACGGAAGAUACCAGAUCUUGAGAUCUCCACCAUGCUUGCCAAUUACACUUCCAAAGGUGGAACUCCUAAGAAACUUGGUGAUCCCGGAGUGCCCACUAUACCUUGCUCCAUUAAAGGAAACUACGUAAGAACUGCCUUAUGUGACCUUGGAGCCGGUGUUAGUGUUAUGCCUCUCUCUCUCUUUAUCGUAGACUUGAACUGGAUAAGUUGACACCCACUGAAAUUUCUCUGCAAAUGGCCGACAAAUCAACUGCUUUCCCUGUCAGCAUUUGCGAGGAUGUGCCUGUUGUGGUUGCUAACGUUGCUAUCUUAACGGACUUUGUUAUCCUGGAUAUUCCUGAGGAUGAUGCCAUGGCGAUCAUUCUUGGAAGACCAUUCUUAAACACUGCAAGGGCUGUUAUAGAUUGCAGCAAAGGCAAUGUCACCUUCCAUGUCAACGGUAAUGAGCAUACAGUGCACUUUCCAAAGAAACGAUAUCAAGUACAUUGCAUCAAUGCUAUCGAAAAAACAUCAUCGAUUCUUAUUGGGAGCUUUGAAUUCCCUAUUCCUCGUGUUAAGAUGAAGUAUGAUUUGCUUGUUGGGGAGAUUCAUGUCCCCAUUGAGGUGACUUAGUGGCUAUUCGACAAUUCUCUGUUUCCUUUUGCGAUUCGAAAAGGUUUUGUCGAGGGGAUUUGAUCAACCCCAUUGACGGAUUUCUUUCGAUGACCAUGAAAUGGAUGAAUCAAGGAGUCACAUACCUCUGUUUUAAGCUUUCACUUUCUGUUGUUUAGAAGGAAAAAUGAUAGAUUUAGUUUAGUUUUUCCUGUUUUCUGUUUUAGCGUCCCAGAGAAAAGUAUCCCGAAAAUAGAAGUUCUACGAUGGCCCUGAAAAUCAAAUAUGAUUUUUUCUGGUUUUUUUGAAAAAUACUGGGACUGAGAGCUGGCCUGGGAGCCACACCAGUGGGCCACAAGCCCUGUAGCCGCGGCCUCCCCUGGCCGCGGCUACCAAGCUUGUGGGGCCCACAGGGACCCCCUCCACUCAUUCUAGCUCCCAUCCUCUUCUUCUACCUCCAGAAAAAAUCGUUUUACAGCUCCAACCCGUGCUCUUGCUCAUUUGGCUGUGAUUUUCGAUCUCCUUGCUCAAAGCACCAUUCUACGAACCGUUUUGGGGAAAUUACUCCUUGGUAAGUGACUCCUCCAUUGGUCCAAUUAGUUACUCUAGUGCUUUAUCCUUCGCGUAUUCUUUCUACCUUGGUGACCCUGUUCUUGAACUUGAAAUGUUGAUUUUAGUUCGUCCCAAGUAGUUUUAACGCGUGAUACGGUCUCUAGGCACUAGUAGGAGUAGUUGCUACAAGGUUUGGUUGGUCUUUAUUCACUUUUCUCUUGAACUUCAAAAAUUUCAGCAAAAAUAAAUUAUGUUUAGGAGGAAGUUUCAUGGUGGUUCCUCAAGUAAGAAGGGUCCCCGUCUUUCUAUUAAGGAGCCCGAUCCUUAUGAACUAAGGGACGCACCGGUACAACCAUGUGAAUGGCCUUCCGAUGAGUUCAUGAUCGAAGCAGGCUUCAAGGAUGAGUUUGAUACACUUGUCCACAAUGCCGAGUUAGAAGAAUUCCUCUCAGAUAAAUGUGAACAGUAUGCUAUGCUCACUGCCUCUUUCAUGCGUAGAUUUAAAUUUUUAGUUGGCCGUGACUCAUCCAUACUGUUUGAUCUGUAUGAUAAAUCCUACACCAUGGAUUUGGAGGAUUUCAAUAGGAUUUGCAAGAUACCCGAUGGGGGUAGUCUUAAUGAUCCUGCUAAGUCUUCGGUUAGAUAUUUUUUUUCUCUAGUAUAACUGUUGGAGAAACUAGAGACAUCACGCAAGCUACCAUAGGAAGCAUUCAUUUCCCUGCCUUGCACUACUUUGCCCUCUUCAUAGGUAGAUGCAUUAACGGCAAGGUUGAACAUUGUCACCUAUGCGCAUCCGACCUUAGUAUCCUUAAGAGCGCAAUAACAGGUGACAGGAGCUUCAACAUGGGAGCUAUAAUAGCAAGGAGGCUGAAUAAUAAUGCCAUUGAUAUUAGUUUACCGUGAGACCUAUGUGUCACUUGCUUAUGUGGUUAACUUGUGAUCUUGCUGAAAUUCUGGUUAUGAGUUAGACAUAGUUGCAACAUCAAGAUCAAACAGAGUUUGUCAAAGUUUUUCGUUCUCUUUUAGUUUGUCAACUGAGUUGCUUGAGGACAAGCAAGGUUUUAAGCGUGGGGGAGUUGAUACGUCUCCAUCGUAUCUACUUUUCCAAACUCUUUUGCAAUUGUUUUGGACUCUAAUUUGCAUGAUUUGAAUGGAACUAACCCGGACUGACGCUGUUUUCAGCAGAAUUGCCAUGGUGUUGUUUUUGUGCAGAAAUGAAAGUUCUCGGAACGUCUUGAAAAUUUACGGAGAAUAUUUCUGGAAAAUAUGAAAAAUACCUGCGCAAAGAUCCACCGGAGGGGACGGGCUAGUGGGCCACAAGCCCUGUAGCCGCGGCCUCCCCCCUGGUCGCGGCUACCAGGCUUGUGGGGCCCACGUGGCUCUGCCGCCCCCAAUUCCAGCACUAUUUAUUCCCUUUCGUCCCGGAAAAAAUCAGGAGAGAAGAGUUCAUCGCGUUUCACGAUCCAGAGGCGCCGCCACAUCCCGUUCUUGCCCUGGAGGGUAGAUCUGGAGUCCGUUUUGGGCUCCGGAUCAAGGAGAUCGUCGCCAUCGUGAUCAUCAACCUUCUUCCCUCUCCAAUUCCAUGAAGCUCUUCAUUGUUCGUGAGUAAUCUAUUCGUAGGCUCGCUGGGCGGUGAUGAGUAGGAUGAGAUCUAACAUGUAAUCGAGUUAGUUUUGACGGGGAUUGAUCCCUAGUAUCCACUAUGUUCUGAGAUUGAUGUUGCUACUACUUGGCUAUGCUUAAUGCUUGUCACUAGGGCCCGAGUGCCAUGAAUUCAGAUCUGAACCUAUUAUGUUGUCACCAACAUAUAUAUGUGUUUUAGAUCCGAUCUUGCAAGUUGUAGUUACCUACUAUGUGUUAUGAUCCGGCAACCCUGGAGUGACAAUAACCGGAACCACUCCCGGUGAUGACCAUAGUUUGAGGAGUUCAUGUGUUCACCAAGUGCUAAUGCGUUGGUCCGGUUCUUUAUUAGAAGGAGAACCUUAAUAUCCCGUAGUAUCCAUUUGGACCCCGCUGCCACGGGAGGGAUGGGCAAUAGAUGUCAUACAAGUUCCUUUCCCUAAGCACGUAUGACUACACACAGAAUGCAUGCCUACAUCACAUUGACGAACGGGAGCUAGCCACAUAUCUCUCCGUGUUAUAACUGUUGCAUGAUGAAUGUCAUCCAACAAAUCACCGAUCCAUUGCCUACGAGUUUGUCCCACUGCUAUUGUUACUUGCUGCUGCUGUUACUUGCUUUGCUCUGCUGCUGUUACUACUAUUGCUGCUACUGUUACUUGCUUUGUCAUGCUGCUGCUGCCACUACUGUUGCUACUACUGUUACUUGUUGUUGCUGUUACUUGCUACUGUUGCUACUUGCUACUGCUGUCACUACUGCUGUUCCUUGCCACUGUUGUUACUCGUUACACUGCUGCUACCUGCUAGAAUACUUUUCUUGCGUCAUUGAUACUUCAGUUAGGAAUAAUCUGCCGUCAACAGAUUCUUUCCUAGCACUGUUGCUAUCAUACUACCUUUGCUGCUUAUAUCCUGCUUGCAGAUACUAAUCUUUCAGGUGUGGUUGAGCCGACAACUCAACUGCUAAUACUUGAGAAUAUCCUUUCACUCCCAUUGUGUCGAACCAACAAAUUUGGGUUGAAUACUCUACCCUCGAAAACUGCCGCGAUCCCACACGCUGGUGGGCCAUUGCAAGACAAUUGCUAAUUGUUGAGCAUCUGGAAGUAGGUACUAGCCAUGGAAAAGUGAGAAUACAGUAAUCUAACACCAAUAUAAAUAGAAAUCAAGUUUGCUACAGUACCUCAAGAGGUGGUAGUUUGUUUUCUUGUGCUAAUAAUAUCACGAGUUUCUGUUUAAGUUUUGUGUUGUGAAGUUUUCAAGUUUUGAGUGAUGUUCUCAUGGCCAAAGGGAUAAAGAGUGGAAAGAGCUCAAUCUUGGGGAUGCCCAAGGCACCCCAAGACAAAUUCAAGGACACCAAAAAGCCUAAGCUUGGGGAUGCCCCGGGAAGGCAUCCCCUCUUUCGUAUUCAAUCCAUCGGUAACAUUACUUCGAGCUAUAUUUUUAUUCACCACAUGGUAUGUGUUUUGCUUGGAGCGUCUUGUAUCGUAGGAGUCUUUUAUUUUUGUUGUGUCACAAUCAUCCUUGCUGCACACCUUUGGAGAGAGACAUGCACUCAUCCUGAUUUUGCUAGAAUACUCUUUGAGCUUCACUUAUAUCUUUUGAGUUAGGCAAUUUAGCUCACAUGCGCUUCACUUCGAUCUUUUAGAGCACGACAGUGUUAUAUUUUGGAGAAAUAAGGACUCUCGAUCUUCACUUAUAUCUUUUUGAGAGUGAUCUCUCUGAGUAACUUGGUAGUUGGCUUGUGCUAUGAAAGUAGUCCCAAAGGUGAUAGGAAUCCAAAGAGCAUACGAUGAAACUUCCAUCUUCUUGUUCAUUGAUUAGAAAGAGAAGUUUGAUUCCUCUCAAUUAGUUUUGAGAUAUGGAUUUGGUGAUACUAAGAGUUAUGUUAGUAGGGUGUUGUGAAUCUAGAAAUACUUGUGUUGAAGUUAGUGAUUAACGUAACAUGCACGUAUGGUGAACCGCUAUGUUAGGAAGUCAGAGCAUAAUUGAUCUAUUGAUUGUCAUCCUUUGUGUUGCGGUCGGGAUCGCGCGAUGGUUAACACCUACGAACCCUUCCCCUAGGAGUAUGCGUUUAGCACUUUGUUUUGAUUACUAAUAAAAACUUUCGCAAUAAGUAUGGGAGUUCUUCAUGACUAACGUGAGUCCAUGGUAUAGAUGCACUUUCACCUUCCACCAUUGCUAGCCUCUUUAGUGCCGCGCAACUUUCAUCGGUGCACAAACCCACCAUAUGCCUUCCUCAAAACAGCCACCAUAAGUACCUACUAUGGCAUCUUCAUAGCCAUUCCCAGAUAUAUUGCCAUGCAACUCCCACCGUUCCAUCUCAUGACUUGUGCCGUCACUUUCAUAUUGCCAUUGCAUGAUCGUAAGAUAGCUAGUGAGUCAUAUGCCAAGCUAGAUCGUUGCACAUCCCGGUACAUUGCCGGAGGCAUUUCCUAUAAGAGUCAUCAUUGUUCUAAGCAUUGAGCUUUUAGUAAAUUAAAGUGUGAUGAUCAUCAUUAUUAGAGCAGUGUCCCAUGUGAGUAAAUAAAAAAAAGGCCAAAGUGGCCCACAAAAAAAUAUAUAUGGAAAGAGGCCAAAGAGCCCCCAAAAAAGGAAGAGAGAAAAAGAGAGAAUGGACAAUGCUACUAUCUUUUUCCACACUUGUGCUUCAUAAUAGCACCAUGUUCUUCAUGAUUGAGAGUCUCUUGAUUUGUCACCACCAUAUGCUAGUGGGAAUUUUCGUUAUAUAACUUGGCUUAUAUAUUCCAAUGAUGGGAUUCCUCAAAAUUGCCCUAGGUCUUGACGAGCAAGCAAGUUGAAUGCACACCCACUAGUUCUUCUUUUGAGCUUUCACAUACUUAUAGCUCUAAGUGCAUCCAUUGCAUGGUAAUCCCUACUCUUUCACAUUGAUAUCUAUUAAUGGGCAUCUCCAUAGCCCUUUGAUACGCCGAGUCGAUGUGACCAUCUCCUCCUUUUUGUCUCACAACCUCCACCACACUCUAUUCCACCAUAGUGCUAUAUCCAUGGCUCAUGCUCAUGUAUUGCAUGAGAGUUGAAAAAGGUUUGAGAACGUAAGAGUGCGAAAACAAUUACUUCGCCAAUACCGGGGUUGUGCAUGAUUUAAAUUAGUUGUGUGGGGAUGAUGGAGCAUAGCCAGACUAUAUGAUUUUGUAGGGAUAACUUUCUUUGGCCUUGUUAUUUCGAAUGUUUAUGAUUACCUUGCUAGUUUUCUUGAAGUAUUAUUGUUUUCAUGUCAAUAGCAAGCUAUUAUUUGAAUCUUACGGAUCUGAACAUUCAUGUCACAUGAAAUAAGUUACAAAGGACAAAGAUGCUAGGUAGCAUUCCACAUCAAAAAUUCAGUCUUUAUCACUUCCCUACUCGAGGACGAGCUGGAGUUAAGCUUGGGGAUGCUUGAUACGUCUCCAACGUAUCUAUAAUUUUUGAUGGUUACAUGCUAUUAUCUUGUCAAACUUUGGAUGUUUUGUAUGCCUUUUAUAUCUUUUUUGGGACUAACUUAUUAACUCAGUGCCAAGUGCCAGUUCCUAUUUUUUUCGUGUUUUUGACCCUUUUCAGAGGAGAAUAUUAAACGGAAUCCAAAAGGAAUAAAACUUCCGAAAAGGUUUUUUCCGGAACAGAAAAUACGCAGGGGGCGUGAGAACCAAGGUAGAGGCCACCAGGGGAGGCCACAAGGCCCCUAGGCGCGGCCAGGGGGGCCUGACUCUGUGACAACAGACCUUCCCCUGCAACGGCACCAGAAGAAUGCUGCUAGCACUCCCCGGCAAUCGAAACUAGAAGAAUAUUGUUGACGGCCCACCAGCGCGUGGGAUCGAGGCAGUUUUCGAGGGUAGAGUAUUCGAACAAAAUUUGUUGAUACGCCAGUAGGAGGUGAGACGAUACUCUCAAGUAUUAGCAGUUGAAUGUGUCAGAUUCAACCAGACGUGAAAGAUUAGUAUCUGCAAGCAAAGUAUCAUCAGCAAAGUAGUAUGAUAACAACGGUGUCAGAAACGAUCUGUUGACGGCAGACUAUUCCUAACGAUUGUAUCAAUGGUGCCAGAAGUUGCCCGUUGACGGAAAUUGUCUGUUCCCGUCAACGCCGAGCGAACAAAAAUUGUAACAGGUAGCAGCAGUGAAACGAGUAACAGCAGUGGCAAGGAACAGCAGUAGUGACAGCAGUAGCAAGUAGCAACAGUAGCAAGUAGCAGCAGAGCAAGCGACAGUAGUAACAGCAGCAGUGGGACAAACUUGUAGGCAAUGGGUCCGUGAUUCGUUCGGAUGAUAUUCAUCAUGCAACAGUUAUAAGACGGAGAGAUAUGUGGCUAGCUCCCGUUCGUCAAUGUGAUGUAGGCAUGCAUUCCGUGUGUAGUCAUACGUGCUUAGGGAAAAGAACUUGCAUGACAUCUAUUGUCCAUCCCUCCCGUGGCAGCGGGGUCCAAAAGGAUACUACAGGAUGUUAAGGUUCUCCUUUUAAUAAAGAACCGGAACAACGCAUUAGCACUUGGUGAACACAUGAACUCCUCAAAGUAUGGUUAUCAUCAGGAGUGGUUCCGGUUANGCCGCAAGCUUCUGUCUCCGCAAGAUCCCAUCUGGGGCACAUUCUGGUGCCCUGUCGGAGGGGGGAUUCGGAUACGGAGGGCUUCUUCAUCAACACCAUUGACUCUCCGAUGAUGCGUGAGUAGUUCACCAUAAACCUUCGGGUCCAUAGCUAGUAGCUAGAUGGCUUCUUCUCUCUCUUGGAUCUUCAAUACAAAGUUCUCCAUGAUCUUCAUGGAGAUCUAUCCGAUGUAAUCUUCUUUUGCGGUGUGUUUUUCGAGAUCCGAUGAAUUGUGGAUUUAUGAUCAGAUUAUCUAUGAAUCUUAUUUGAGUUUCUUCUGAUCUCUUAUAUGCAUGAUUUCAUAUCCUUGUAAUUCUGUUCGAGUUGUGGGUUUUGUUUGGCGAACUUGAUCUAUGAUUGUUGCAAUGGGAUAAGUGCUUUGUUUUGGGUUCAUACCGUGCGGUGACCUCACCCAGUGACAAAAGGGGUAGCGAGGCACACAUCAUGUUGUUGGCAUCAAGGGUAAAAAGAUGGGGUUUAUACCUAUUGCAUGAACUUAUCCCUCUACAUCAUGUCAUCUUGCUUAAAGCGUUACUCUGUUUGUCAUGAACUCAAUACACUAGAUGCAUGCUGGAUAGCGGUCGAUGUGUGGAGUAAUAGUAGUAGAUGCAGAAAGAAUCGGUCUUCUUGUCUCGGACGUGAUGCCUAUAUGUAUGAUCAUUGCCUUAGAUAUAAUUUGCCCUUCCGACCCGCUGCAUGCCACCCUUGUCGAGCUGACUACUCCCAUCGCCCCAACGGCUAAUACAACGCUGACUAGGGCUGAGGUGGAAGAGGCUCGCAAACAACUACUAGUGGAGGGCACCGCCCUUGCCACCUCCAAGCGCUGGAUGAAGGCGGCACGGCGUGAGUACAACUCCGCUUAUGGCUUCACCCCAGCCGCUGACGGACCCAGCCGGCUCGGCGACCUCCGCUGUCGCGGUCGGGUUGUUGCCGAAAUCCUAGGCGGCCAGCUACCCAUCUAUGACACUCCUGCGGCAAACAUGCGGGCCGCCCAGGCGGCCCAUGAAGAGAUGGAUGCCCUGCAGGGCGAGGAGCGGGUGCGUUAAGAAAAGUGCGUCAAGGACCUCCUCACUGCCGCCAAGGAGCAACAGGAUCGCCUCGAUCCUGCCCGUGCUUUCUCCGUAUCUCCGGCCUUCGACAUCGAAGGUUAUGAUGUCCCCAACGACCGUCAGCAAGCUCAGCAUUCUUCCUCCCAUCGUAAAUCCGACCAGAAGGCCGAGGGAAGCCGUGAGUAGCAUUCCCAACGCCGGAGAGAGCAUCACGCAGUAUCUAGCCGGCUCGGCGAGCCGGCUGGAACUAGAGGAGGCUCAGUUCAUGAAGUUCCCCCGCCUGAGCGGUGGGAGAAGGCCAGCACACCCGUGCCCGCAAUCCGGCCUGAGCUCGCGGCUUGGAUCGGCCCUCGCGUCCUUCGCAGCAAGAGCGAUGCUCGCACACGCAUCGACCUUCUGGCGCAGUCGGCCCUCCUGGAGGAGGAGGGUCCCAUUGGUCCGACGUGCUUCGGUCCUCGGAUCCGAGGGGAGGCGUUCCCGUCCGGCUUCACCGUCCCCCGCGAUACUACGAAAUACAACGGCUCUGGCAAGCCGAAAGACUGGCUGAUCGACUACAUCACUGCAGUCGGCAUUUCUCGGGGCAACAAGCGUGUUGCCGUCUGCUACGUGACACUCAUGCUGACCGGCUCGACAAGAACUUGGCUUAACAGUCUGCCAGCUGGCAACAUCAACUCUUGGGUUGACUUUGAAGAUGCUUUCGUCCGCAACUUCACUCGCACCUACAAGCGCCCUGGCCACGCCCGUGAGCUGGCCAUGUGCGUUCAGAAGCCCGACAAACCCCUCUGUGACUACAUCAUGCACUCGACGGAGUUGCACAACUCCUGCGAAGGAGUGCAUGAAGUACAAGCCAUUCAAUACUUCACUAAAGACUGUCGAGACGACACCCUUCUCAAGCACAAACUCAUGUGCUGCGAACCUACCUCUUUGGCAGCACUCAUGGACAAGGCGGAUAAAUACACUACUGCCAACUCUGCCAUGAGGAUCAAGGUCAGCGCGACGGACAAACCCGACCAACCGCCGGCUACAACUAAGCCGGUGGCGACAACUGAGGCGGGCAAAACAACAAGCGCAAGGCGGAUCAGCAAGACCCGUGAGCUUGAAGCAAGCAGGUGGCAAACAUGGAGGAAGAGCAGCCGGCUGCGCAAGACGACGCUCAGCAACAACGAACCGGCAAGAACACCUGACAGCCCAAGCUCACAUUCGAGUAGAUGCUCGACGCGCCUUGCAAGAUGCAUUCCGGGGCAAAGCCAGCCACCCACACACUCCGGUAGUGCAGCUUCUCACAGCGCCUGGCCCGCUGGCGGCUCCCCCGGGGGUGGCUCCUCGAGGUCCGACUCCCGGGCCGGGUCCGGCUCCAGCUCAACCGCCCCCAAUGACGGCCGUCUUCAUGACCAAUUCCCCAAGAAGGACGGGCCUACAUCGUCUUUACCAGCGAGGGCGAUGACAAGCAUAGUGAGCGUCAGCGCCGACAUGAGGUGAAUGCAACGGUCCUCUCGGUUCCCCAAUACACGCAUUGGUCUAAAAAGCAAAUUACAUGGAGCCAGGCGGACCAUCCCGCGGUGAUGCCGAAUCCUGGCACAUACGCGCUCGUCCUCGUCCCCACCAUCGCCUCCAAGAGACUCACAUGUACGUUCUCGCAGGUGCUCGUCGACGGCGGUAGCAUCAUGAACAUCCUCUACCGUGACACCAUGCUCGAGCUCGGGCUGAAGGAGAAGGACCUACAACCGACCAGGACUGUCUUCCACGACAUUGUGUCGGGGCAGUCUUGCUCGCCUAUCGGCAAAAUCCAGGUGGACUUCCUCUUUCGCGACAAGUCGCACUUCCACCGCGAGCCGGUCUGGUUCAAGGAGGUGGACCUCAACAACCCGUACCAUGCGCUGCUAGGAAGGCCGGCGCUGGCCAAGUUCAUGGCUAUCCCCCAUUACACCUACCUCAAGAUGAAGAUGUCGGGUCCCAAGGGCAUUAUCACUGUUGCCGGCAACUCCAAGAAGUCAAUCGAGUGUGGGUGCAACAGCAGCCGGCUGGCCGAGGCACUGGUGAUUGCACAGGAGAAGAGGCAGCUCAACCGGCUCAUGGCUGAGGCUACCGAGCAGCCGCCCGUGCCAACUCCUCCGUCCCAAUCAGACGGCGAGGCCUCAUUCGAGCCGUCCAAGGGAACCGGGCAAGUGCCACUCGACCCAGCCAACCCCAAGUAGUGCGUGACCAUCGGCGCCAACCUUAGCCCCAAAUAGGAAGGUGAGCUCGUCGACUUCCUCAGUGAGAAUCGAGAUAUCUUUGCAUGGUCCCCCAAGGACAUGUCGGGAGUUCCAAGGAACUACGCCGAGCACAAGCUUCAUGUGCAACCUAAUGCAAAGCCGGUCAAACAACCUUUGUGCCGCUUUGCUGAGGGGAAGCGACACACAAUCGGAGAAGAGAUCGCUUGGCUACUUGCAACCGGCUUCAUCAUGGAAGUUUCCCACCCGGACUGACUGGCCAACCCAGUCCUGGUGCAGAAGAAAAACAAAACAUGGUGCAUGUGUAUCGACUACACAAGCCUGAAUAUGGCAUGUCUGAAGGAUCCCGUCGCCCUGCCACGGAUAGAUCAAGUGACUGACUCCACGGUCGGCUACGAUUUGUUGUCCUUUGUGGACGCUUAUUCCGGCUACCACCAGAUCAAGCUGGACCCGGCCGACCGGCUCAAGACCUCCUUCAUCACACCUUCUGGAGCCUACUGCUACACGAUGAUGACAUUUGGCCUAAAGACUAUAGGCGCCACCUUCCAGCGUUGCAUGCAAUAAUGCCUCCUGCCGCAAAUCGGCAGGAACAUACACGUCUGCAUCGACGAAAUCGUCGUCAAGACCAAGAAGUAUUUCAGUCUCCUUGACGAUUUGUCGGAGACCUUUGCCAACUUGCACGAGUACAAGAUCCAUGUCAAUCCAGAGAAGUGCGUAUUCGGAGUACCAACCGACAAGCUCCUGGGUUUCUUCGUGUCGGCUCGCGGCAUCGAAGCUAACCCCGAGAAGACCAGAACAAUCGAGUGCAUGGCCAAGCCGGCUCAACUCCUCGACGUCUAGAAGUUUGCCGGCUGCCUAGCAUCCCUCAGCCGGUUUGUUAGACGGCUGGGUGAGAAGGCACUACCACUCUAUCAGCUGAUGAAGAAGACAACCAAAUUCGAGUGGAAUGAUCAAGCGGACGAAGCAUUCCGCGACCUCAAGUGCGUGAUCUCCAGCACGCAAAUCUUGGCCACGCCGGCGGAGAGGGAACCCAUCCUCAUCUAAAAUGCGACAACCAUGCGCGUGGUCAGUGUCGUCUUGGUGGUGGAGCGAAAGGAGGAGGGCAAUGUGCUGCUGGUCAGCGCCCUGUCUACCAUCUAAGCGAAGUCUUGUCCGCCUCCAAGCAAAACUACCCCAUUUUCAAAAGAUGUGCUAUGGCGUGUAUUUUGCCACCAAGAAGCUGAAGCAAUACUUCCAGGAGCAUGCCAUCACGGUGGUGAGCACAACUCCACUUUCAGAAAUCAUGGGCAACUGUGAUGCUAUGGGCCAGAUUGCCAAGUGGUCCAUCUCCAUGGCCGACCAUGACAUCCGCUAUGAGCUGUGCACCGCCAUCAAGUCUCAAGUGGUGGCCGACUUCCUCGUCGAUUGGGCCGAGACCCAGUUCCUACCACCGCCUCCUGACUCCACACAUUGGCGGAUACAUUUCGACGACUCCAAGAUGCGAACCGGCCUGGGAGCCGGCAUUGUCCUGACGUCCCCGAAAGGGGCCAACUCAAAUAUGCUCUGUAGAUACACUUCGCCUCCUCCAACAACGUCACCGAGUACGAGGCACUUGCACACGCCCUCUGACUUGCUAGAGAGAUCGUCAUCCAGCGGAUUCUUUGCUUCAGCGACUCUGACCUCGUGGUGCAGCAAGUCUUUCGCGAGUGGGAUGCCAGGGACGCCAACAUGGCCAGCUACCGCUUCCCCAUCCAGCAGCUUAGUGGCCCUUUCGAGGGCUGCGAGUUCCAUCAUGUCCCCCGAGCAGACAAUGAGGCAGCAGAUACAUUGGCACAAAUGGGCUCCACAAGGCAAGCAAUCCCGACCGGCGUCUCCCUCGAACAGCUGCACAAGCCUUCCAUCAAGCCGUCUCGAGCGUCGUCAUCGAUCUUCGUGCCUGCAGACCCGUCCGUCCCAAUGACUUUAGGUACGAAGACGCUUCAUCAACUCCGCCGGCUCGGCCCGUUCUGCCAGCUCCGUCAGCUUUGCUGGCUCCGGUUACCUUGCCGACACCAACUACUCUGCCGGCUAUGCCAAACCUCGAACCCAGUCGGCUCAACACCCAGUGGGUGGCCGUCAUGGAGGUUGAUGGCAUGCCGGCUUCCACGACGACACCAGAGACAGAAGGUCUCGAACCCAGGACCACAAUGACAAACUCGGGGGCCUCAGCGGCCCCUGGCCUUCAGGCCGAGCCAGAAUCGGCUCGUGUGUCAGCUCCCACAUGGGCACACCCCAUCCUGUCUUUCCUCCUUUGCGGUGAGCUCCCUUAAGACAAGGUGGAAGCACGGCAAAUCCAGUGCCGAUCUCUCACUUACGCCAUCAUCAACCGUGAACUGGUUCGACACAGUGUAACAGGCGUACUUCAACGCUGCGUCGAAUCAGAGAAAUGAAAAUAAAUUCUCAAGGACAUACAUCAGGGUGAGUGCGGGCAUCACGCCGCCUCCAGAACCCUGGUGGCCAAGGCGUUCCGCCAUGGAUUCUAUUGGCUCACGACCCUGGAAGAGGCCACCACUCUGGUCGACAAGUGUGAAGGAUGCCAGUGCUUCAACACGCAAAGCCACUUGCCGGCCUCAGCUCUAAAGACCAUUCCCCUCUCAUGUCCCUUUGUCGUCUGGCGUUGGACAUGGUAGGCCCAUUCAAGACCGCUCGAGGCCGCAUGCCGCAUCUCCUGGUAGCCGUUGACAAGUUCACCAAGUGGAUUGAGGCCAGGCCAAUAAAGAAGCUUGACGGUCCCACGACCGUCAGGUUCAUCAAGGACAUCACCGUCCGCUAAGGUGUCCCCCACAGCAUCAUCACCGAUAAUGGCACCAACCUCGCCAAAGGUGCAAUGGCGCUCUUCUAUGCCAAGGAGGGCAUUCGGUUCGACCUUUCGUCGGUUGCCCACCCGCAGUCUAACGGCCAUGGGAAGGGCAAACAACCUGAUCUUGGCCGGCAUCAAGCCAAGACUCGUGGCACCGAUCGUCAGGUCAGCCGUCUGCUGGAUCAAAGAGUUGACGGCUGUGCUGUGGAGCCUCCACACCACACCGAACCGGUCAACUGAUUUCACGCCAUUCUUCCUCGUCUACGGGUCCGAGGCAAUCAUCCCCGCGGAUGUCGAGUUCGACUUGCCUCGCGUCACCCUGUACACGGAGGCAGAUGCAAAAGAGGAAAGAGAAGACGGUGUCAAUCUACUCGAGGAGGCACGGGAGCUGGCCCUGAGCUGGACGGCCAUCUACCAGCAGAAGAUGAGACACUACCACAUCAAAAAGAUCAGGCCUCUCUCUUCCCAUGAGGCGGACCUAGUACUUAGAAGAAUCUAGCAAACAGCCGGCCAACACAAGCUCUCUUCCCCAUGGGAGGGACCCUUGAUCAUCAGCAAGGUGCUGCACAACAAUGCGUACUAUCUAAUAGAUGCUCAGAAGCCGCAGAAGCGCAAAAGAGACGCCUCCGGCGAGGAAACGGAGCAUCCAUAGAACGCGGCACUGCUUCGCCCGUUCUAUUGCUAGAACAAGAGAGAAAAUGUGUACGUAUGUAUCCUUUACCCUUUUGGGGUCUCAACGAAUGCAAUGGGUGUCUCAAGAUAGCACUUGGGGCAUACCUAUUUGAUUUCAUAAAAAGAGUUGUCAUUAGAAGAGUGGGCUUCCCGAUCUGACUCCUCGGGCUCGGGGGCUCGCUAGCCGGCCCAAGCCAACUUCCUAGUCGUAGUUGAACAUAUAGUGCAUGUCGAGCCGAAACCCUUACCACCUUGUGCAAGCUAGAGACCGGCUCCGGACUGUCCGGCUAACAUGAUUGUGGAAUGGAAGGCUGGUUGCACGUAAAAUUUGACUACAAAGAGGUUGUCGGCUCAGGUUGGUCUGAUCGCUUCCGAUCUUCAUUUCUAGCUAGCCUGUGCUAACUCGCUCCAAGUCUAAGUAUCUCCGCGACUUCAAGAAAUUCGAGGAUGGCGCCUUCGUAGGCAGAAGCCCCAUCCUAGUCACAAACCGGCUCCCUGCUGUCGGAUUGGCGGGGUGGAUGCUGGAGGAGGCAAGCUGUUGGAUAGACGGAAGCCAAAGGGGAACGUAAGAUAAAAAAGCGAGUCGGCAAGCACAACCUUCGCAGGCACAAUUCAAGCAAACAAGCAUAUAUUAUAUCAAAAGACAUGUAAAGGCCGACGACCAAAGUUCAUUACAUUACACCCCAAGUGCGUGGAACUGUUGGAUUAACAAAAAAUGCAGAAAAGUAGAAAAAACUUUAUUUGGUGGUGGCUCCACCCUUGGCUCCGACAUCGCCGGCAGCACCGGAGGUCGAGGAGGCUCCACCCAUGGCUCCGACAUUGUUAGCAGCACCUGAGGUCGACGCGGCUCCACCCUUGGCAUUGGCAUCACCAGCGGCACCUGACGUGGAGGCGCCGUCGUCUGCUCGGGUGCCUUUGGCACUGCCCUUUGUGGCGGAGUCAACAUAGGCCUCGCCGCUCAAGUCGGCAUCCUCGAAUGCCGUCUCAUCGGAGCUGCCAUCAGGGUCGGCAAGCUAGCCCAUAAUGACCCUCCGGGAUCAGGCUUCUGUCAGCACUCCGCUCCAGGGAAUACUCAUUCCAUGGGCAAAGGAGGCAAUGCCGCUCGGCCGCACCUGCAGCUCGUCUUCGACGGCGGCUGACACGUGUCCAACGUAUCUAUAAUUUUUGAUGGUUACAUGCUAUUAUCUUGUCAAACUUUGGAUGUUUUGCAUGCCUUUUAUAACUUUUGGGACUAACUUAUUAAUUCAGUGCCAAGUGCCAGUUCCUGUUUUUUCCGUGUUUUUGACCCUUUUCAGAGAAGGAUUUUAAACGGUGUCCAAACGGAAUAAAAUUUUCGAAAAGAUUUUUUCCGGAACAGAAGAUACGCACGGGAUGUGAGAACCAAGGCAGAAGCCACCACGGGAUGCCACAAGCCCCCUAGGCGCGGCCGGGGGGGCCUAGCAGGCUUGUGGGCCCCCUGUGACUCGUCUGCACUACCUCUUCUGCCUAUAAAUUCCUGAAAAAUCCAAAACUGCGGGAGAGAUCCACGAAAAUACUUUUCCGCUGCCGCAAGCUUCUGUCUCCGCAAGAUCCCAUCUGGGGCACGUUCUGGUGCCCUGCCGGAGGGGGGAUUGGAUACGGAGGGCUUCUUCAUCAACACCAUGACCUCUCCGAUGAUGCAUGGGUAGUUUACCAUAGACCUUCGGGUCCAUAGCUAGUAGCUAGAUGCCUUCUUCUCUCUCUUGGAUCUUCAAUACAAAGUUCUCCAUGAUCUUCAUGGAUAUCUAUCCGAUGUAAUCUUCUUUUGCGGUGUAUUUGUCGAGAUCCGAUGAAUUGUGGAUUUAUGAUCAGAUUAUCUAUGAAUCUUAUUUAAAUUUCUUCUGAUCUUUUAUAUGCAUGAUUUCAUAUCCUUGUAAUUCUCUUCGAGUUGUGGGUUUUCUUUGGCCAACUUGAUCUAUGAUUCUUGCAAUGGGAGAAGUGCUUGGUUUUGGGUUCAUACCGUGCGGUGACCUCACCCAGUGACAGAAGGGGUAGUGAGGCACGCAUCAUGUUGUUGCCAUCAAGGGUAAAAAGAUGGGGUUUACAUCAUUGGUUUGAGUUUAUCCCUCUACAUCAUGUCAUCUUGCUUAAGGCGUUACUCUGUUCGUCAUGAACUCAAUACACUAGAUGCAUGCUUGAUAGCAGGGGAUGUGUGGAGUAAUAGUAGUAGAUGCAGACAGUAUCGGUCUACUUGUCUUGGACGUGAUGCCUAUAUGUAUAAUCAUUGCCUUAGAUAUCGUCAUGACUUUGCGCGGUUCUAUCAAUUGCUCGACAGUAAUUUGUUCACCCACCGUAAUAUUUGCUACUUUGGGAGAAGCCUCUAGUGAACACUAUGGCCCCCGGGUCUACUUCACAUCAUAUUUUCAGCCUUUAACUUUUACUUCGUUGUACUUUCCACCUUCAGAUCUCACUUUGCAAUCAAUCUUGAAGGGAUUGACAACCCCUUUAUAGCGUUGGGUGCAAGCUCGUUUGUAUUUGCGCAGGUACUCUGUACACUUGGAUUGAUUCUCCUACUGGAUUGAUACCUUGGUUCUCAAACUGAGGGAAAUACUUACUUCUCCUGUGCUGCAUCACCCUUUCCUCUUCAAGGGAAAACCAACGCAAGCUCAAGAGGCAACAGAAGGAUUUCUGGCGCCGUUGCCGGGGACUUCUGGCCCCGUAGCAGAAGGAUUUCUCGCGCCGUUGCCGGGGAGGAUCAAGUUCUAGGUGAAGCUUAUCCAAGUAAGUGUCGAAAACUCAUCUCUUGCAUUUACUUUUUUGCCUUUCGUUUUCCUCUCCCCCAGUUUUGAAAAACAAAAAAUUACAAAAAUAUUUGCCUUCUUCGUUUGCCUUUUUCGUUCGCCCUUUUAUCUCGCUUGCUUUCUGUUCGCUUGUGUGCUUGUUUGCUUGUCGAAGUCACCAUGACUAAAAACACCAAACUCUAUGACUUCUCGAAUACUAAUAAUAAUGAUUUUAUUAGUACUCCGAUUGCUCCCGCCACUAGUGCGGAAUCAUACGAAAUCAAUGUUGCCUUGCUGAAUCUUGUUAUGAAAGAGCAAUUCUCCGACCUUCCUAGUGAAGAUGCCGCAUCCCAUCUUAAUAUCUUCAUUGAGCUUUGCGAUAUGCAGAAUAAGAAAGAUGUGGAUAAUGAUGUGAUUAAAUUGAAGCUUUUUCCUUUCUCGUUGCGAGAUCGAGCAAAAACUUGGUUUUCAUCUUUGCCCAAAAAUAGUAUUGAUUCUUGGAACAAGUGCAAAGAUGAUUAUAUAUCCAAGUAUUUUCCGUCGGCUAAGAUUAUCUCUCUCCGUAAUGAUAUCUUGAAUUUUAAGCAACUUGAUCAUGAACAUGUUCCACAAUCUUGGGAGAGAAUGAAAUUGAUGAUUAGAAAAUGUCCCGCUCAUGGCUUGAGUCUUUGGAUGAUUAUACAAAUCUUCUACGCUGGUUUGAAUUUCGCUUCUAGAAAUAUCUUGGACUCCGCCUCAGGUGGAACAUUCAAGGAAAUCACAUUAGGAGAAGCCACGAAACUCCUAGACAAUAUCAUGAUAAACUACUCUCAGUGGCACACUGAAAGGUCACCUACUAGUAAAAAAGUACACGCUAUAGAAGAAAUUAACUCGUUGAGUGCUAAGAUGGAUGAUUUAAUGAAUUUUGUUGCUAGUAGAAGUGCUCCUUUAGAUCCUAAUGAUAUGCCCUUGUAUUCCUUGAUUGAGAGUAGCAAUGCGAGCUUGGACGUUAAUUUUGUUGGUAGGAAUAAUUUUGGCAACAACAAUGCUUUUAGAGGAAACUAUGUUCCUACGCCUUUUCCUAGGAACCCCUCUAAUAACUUUGGCAACUCCUACAACAAUACUCAUGGAAAUUACGAUAAAUUACCCUCUGAUCUAGAUAGUAAUAUCAAAAAGUUUAUCAACUCGCAAAAGAUUUUCAAUGCGUCCAUAGAGGAAAAACUACUCAAAAUUGACGAUUUGGCUAGGAGCGUUGAUAGAAUGUCUAGUGAUACUGAUGCUUUGAAAGUUAGAUGUGCUCCUCCCAAGAUCAACAUGGAUGAAACUUUGAAACCCAUGCGUGUUUCCAUGAGUGAGAGCAAAGAAAGAACCGCCCAAAUUCGUGCUAGACAUGAAUGGCUUAAAAAGGCGUGUUCUCGUGAUAAGAAUCACGAAGAUCUUAAAGUGCUUGGUGUGACUCCCAUUGAAUCUUUGUUCUCUCGUGUCAAACCUAAUGAUGAUGGGGCUGGAUAUGAAUCUACUUUGGUUGAAAAACGCCUCAAUGAUUCGGAGUCCAUCUAUCUUGAUGCUAAAAGCAUUGAAAGUGGAGUAGAAGAAAUCAAAACUUUGAGUAGUAAUGAAAGUACUACUUUGGAUUUCAAGGAAUUCAAUUAUGAUAGUUUCUCCUUGAUUGAAUGCAUUUCCUUGAUGCAAUCCAUGCUAAACUCUCCACACGCUUAUAGCCAAAACAAGGCCUUUACCGAUCAUAUCGUUGAAGCUAUGAUAAAAUCUCUUGAAGAGAAACUUGAGUUGGAAGUUUCUAUUCCUAGAAAGCUUCAUGAUGAGUGGGAACCUACUAUCAAAAUCAAAAUCAAAAACUAUGAAUGCAAUGCUUUGUGUGAUUUGGGUGCUAGUGUUUCCGCGAUUCCAAAGUCUUUAUGUUAUGUUCUAGGCUUUAAUGAGAUUGAGGAGUGUUCUCUUAAUUUGCAUCUUACGGAUUCUACUGUCAAGAAACCCAUGGGAAGGAUCAAUGAUGUUCUUAUUAUUGCAAAUAGGAACUAUGUACCCAUGCAUUUCAUUGUGCUUGAUAUUGAUUGCAAUCCUACAUGUCCUAUCAUUCUUGGUAGACCUUUCCUAAGGACUAUUGGUGCUAUCAUCGAUAUGAAGGAAGGGAAUAUUUGAUUUCAAUUUCCUUUAAAUAAGGGCAUGGAGCAUUUUCCUAGAAAGAAAAUAAGAUUGCCUUAUUAAUCAAUGAUGAGGGCUACUUAUGGUUUGAGCACCAAAGACGACGAUACGUGAUUCUAUCGCCUUAUGCCUAGCUAAGGGCGUUAAAAAAUAGCGCUUGUUGGGAGGCAACCAAAUGAAUUUAUUUUUUUCUUUCUGUUUUAUUGCGUCCACACUAUCAUAAUUCUGUUAUGAUAGUUUUUUGUGUUUCUUUUUGUGUUUGAGCCAAGCAAAACCUUUAUGAUUGGUUUGGUGAUGGUUGUUUGAUCCUGCUGGAAAAAGACAGAAACUUUUCGCUCACGAAAUUAUUUUUCGUUUUUAUUCCGAAAGAGAUUUUGAUUUGAUUCCUUUUGCUGCUGGUUUAUAUGCCUUUUUCCCAGGCUGUCGUAAUGUUUCAUAAUUUUUGAGGCACCAGAAGUAUACGAAGUAUAAAGAUUUCUACAGACUGGUCUGUUUUUGACAGAUUUUGUUUUUGUUGUGUUGGUUGCUUGUUUUGAUGAAACUAUGGAUAGUAUCGGGGGUACUAGCCAUGGAAAAGUGAGAAUACAGUAAUCUAACACCAAUAUAAAUAGAAAUCAAGAUUGCUACAGUACCUAAAGUGGUGGUAGUUUGUUUUCUUGUGCUAAUGAUAUCACGAGUUUCUGUUUAAGUUUUGUGUUGUGAAGUUCUCAAGUUUUGGGUGAUGUUCUCAUGGACAAAGGGAUAAAGAGUGGAAAGAGAUCAAGCUUGGGGAUGCCCAAGGCAUCCCAAUCUAAAUUCAAGGACACCAAAAAUCCUAAGCUUGGGUAUGCCCCGGGAAGACAUCCCCUCUUUCGUCUUCAAUCCAUCGGUAACAUUACUUGGAGCUAUAUUUUUAUUCAGCACAUGAUAUGUGUUUUGUUUGGAGCGUCUUGUAUCGUAGGAGUCUUUUCUUUUUGUUGUGUCACAAUCAUCCUUGCUGCACACCUUUUGAGAGAGACAUGCACUCAUCGUGAAUUUGCUAGAAUACUCAUUGUGCUUCACUUAUAUCUUUUGAGCUAGACAAUGUUGCUGUGUGCUUCACUUAGAUCUUUUAGAGCACCGCUGUGCGUAACUUGGUAGUUGGCUUGUGCUAUGAAUGUAGUCCCAAAGGUGAUAGGUAGCCAAAGAGGAGACAAUAACACUUCCAUCUUCAUGUGUGUUGAGUAGAAAGAGAAGUUUGAUUCCUCUCAAUUAGUUUUGAGACGUGGAUUUGGUAAUAUUAAGAGUUAUGUUAGUAGGGUGUUGUGAAUCUAGAAAUACUUGUGUUAAAGUUAGUGAUUCCCGUAACAUGCACAUAUGGUGAACCACUAUGUUAGGAAGUCGGAGCAUAAUUGAUCUAUUGAUUUCCAUUCUUUGUGUUGCCGUCGGGAUCGCGCGAUGGUUAACACCUACUAACCCUUCCUCUAGGAGUAUGCGUUUAGCACUUUGUUUCGAUUACUAAUAAAAACUUUUGCAACAAGUAUGUGAGUUCUUCAUGACUAAUGUGAGUCCAUGGUAUAGAUGCACUUUCACCUUCCACCAUUGCUAGCCUCUCUAGUACCGCGCAGUUUUCGCUGGUGCACAAACCCACCAUAUGCCUUCCUCAAAACAGCCACCAUACCUACCUACUAUGGCAUUUUCAUUGCCAUUCCGAGAUAUAUUGCCAUGCAACUCCCACCGUUCCGUCUCAUGACUUGUGCCGUCACUCUCAUAUUGCCAUUGCAUGAUCAUAAGACAGCUAGCGAGAUGUUUCAACGUCAUACGCCAAGCUAGAUCGUUGAACAUCCCGGUACACUGCCGGAGGCAUUUCCUAUAGAGUCAUCAUCGUUCUAAGCUUUGAGCUGUGAGUAAAUAAAAGUGUGAUGAUCAUCAUUAUUAGAGCAUUGUCCCAUGUGAGGAAAUAAAAAAAUAGAGGCCAAAGUUGCCCACAAAAAAAGAGAUAUGGAAAGAGGCCGAAGAACCCAAACAAAAAAAAGAAAAAGAAAAAAAGAGAGAAAAUUAGAGAAGGGACAAUGCUACUAUCUUUUUCCACACUUGUGCUUCAUAAUAGCACCAUGUUCUUCAUGAUUGAGAGCCUCCUCGUUUUGUCACCACCAUAUACUAGUGGGAAUCUUUAUUAUAUAACUUGGCUUGUAUAUUCCAAUGAUGGGCUUCCUCAAAAUUGCCCUAGGUCUUCGUGAGCAAGCAAGUUGGAUGCACACCCACUAGUUCUCCUUUUGAGCUUUAACAUACUUAUAGCUCUAAGUGCAUCCAUUGCAUGGUAAUCCCUACUCUUUCACAUUGAUAUCUAUUAAUGGGCAUCUCCAUAGCCCUUUGAUACGCCGAGUCGAUGUGACCAUCUCCUCCUUUUUGUCUCACAACCUCCACCACACUCUAUUCCACCAUAGUGCUAUAUCCAUGGCUCAUGCUCAUGUAUUGCAUGAGAGUUGAAAAAGGUUUGAGAACGUAAGAGUGCGAAAACAAUUACUUCGCCAAUACCGGGGUUGUGCAUGAUUUAAAUUAGUUGUGUGGGGAUGAUGGAGCAUAGCCAGACUAUAUGAUUUUGUAGGGAUAACUUUCUUUGGCCUUGUUAUUUCGAAAGUUCAUGAUUACCUUGCUAGUUUACUUGAAGUAUUAUUGUUUUCAUGUCAAUAGCAAAUUAUUGUUUUUAAUCUUAUGUAUAGGAACAUUCAUGUCACAUGAAAGAAGUUACAAAGGACAACUAUGCUAGGUAGCAUUCCACAUCAAAAAUUAAGUCUCUAUCACUUCCCUACUCGAGGACGAGCGGGAGUUAAGCUUGGGAUGCUUGAUACGUCUGUAACGUAUCUAUACUUUUUGAUGGUUCCAUGCUAUUAUCUUGUCAAUCUUUGGAUGUUUUGUAUGCCUUUUAUAUCUUUUUUGGGACUAACUUAUUAACUCAGUGCCAAGUGCCAGUUUCUGUUUUUUUCGUGUUUUUGACCCUUUUCAGAGGAGAAUUUUAAACGGUGUCCAAACGGAAUAAAACUUCUGAUUUUUUUUCCGGAACAGAAGAUACGCACGGGACGUGAGAACCAAGGCAGAAGCCACCAGGGGACGCCACAAGCCCCCUAGGCGCGGCCAGGGGGGCCCGCGCCUAGCAGGCUUGUGGGCCCCGUGUGGCUCGUCCGCCCUACCUCUUCCGCCUAUAAAUUCCUGAAAAAUCCAAAACCGCGGGAGAGAUCCUUGAAAAUACUUUUCCGCCGCCACAAACUUCUGUCUCCGCAAGAUCCCAUCUAGGGAACGUUCUGGUGCCCUGCCGGAGGGGGGAUUCGGAUACGGAGGGCUUCUUAAUCAACACCAUGACCUCUCCGAUGAUGCAUGAGUAGUUUACCAUAGACCUUCGGGUCCAUAGCUAGUAGCUAGAUGGCUUAUUCUCUCUCUUGGAUCUUCAAUACAAAGUUCUCCAUGAUCUUCAUGGAGAUCUAUCCGAUGUAAUCUUAUUUUGUUGUGUGUUUGUCGAGAUCCGAUGAAUUGUGGAUUUAUGAUCAGUUUAUCUAUGAAUCUUAUUUGAGUUUCUUCUCAUCUCUUAUAUGCAUGAUUUCAUAUCCUUGUAAUUCUCUUCGAGUGAUGGGUUUUGUUUGGCCAACUUGAGCUAUGAUUCUUGCAAUGGGAUAAGUGCUUGGUUUUGGGUCCAUACCGUGCGGUGACCUCACCCAGUGACAGAAGGAGUAGCGAGGAACGCAUCGUGUUGUUGCCAUCAAGGGUAAUAAGAUGGGGUUUACAUCAUUGGUUUGAGUUUAUCCCUCUACAUCAUGUUAUCUUGCUUAAGGUGUUACUCUGUUUGUCAUGAACUCAAUACAAUAGAUGCAUGCUGGAUAGCGGUCGAUGUGUGGAGUAAUAGUAGUAGAUGCAGACAGUAUCGGUCUACUUGUCUCGGACGUGAUGCCUAUAUGUAUGAUCAUUGUCUUAGAUAUCGUCAUGACUUUGCGCGGUUCUAUCAAUUGCUCGACAGUAAUUUGUUCACCCACCGUAAUAUUUGCUACUUUGAGAGAAGCCUCUAGUGAACACUAUGGCCCCCGGGUCUACUUCACAUCAUAUUUUCAGCCUUUCACUUUUACUUCGUUGCACUUUCCGCCUUCAGUUCUCACUUUGCAAUCAAUCUUGAAGGGAUUGAUAACCCCUUUAUAGCGUUGGGUGCAAGCUCGUUUGUGUUUGCGCAGGUACUCUGGACACUUGGCUUGAUUAUCCUACUGGAUUGAUACCUUGGUUCUCAAACCGAGGGAAAUACUUACUGCUCGUGUGCUGUAUCACCCUUUCCUCUUCAAGGGGAAACCAAUGCAAGCUCAAGAUGCAGCAGAAGGAUUUCUGGCGCCGUUGCCGGGGACUUAUGGCGCCGUAGCAGCGGCCAACUCCAGUUCCAUGCUGGCGCGCUGCGCCGCGAGCAUGCCCAAGUUUAGGUUGCGAUACCAGGACUUGGCAAGGCGAAGCACCAUAUAUGCCCCAGCUUGUGCAGCUGACGCACACGAGGCGUCCAGCUGGGAAGUUCCUACCUCGAGCCAUCAGGACAGCCGGCUCAUUGACGCUGGCUCCACCGUGUCCGGCCAAAGGGCAUUCACCAUCGCCAACCCGGACUCCUGGAGCGAGGUCAGGGACUGCAACAGCUCCCACAUAUGGGCCCUGGCGGCAAGGGCCACCUCCUCCGCGGUCUAGCCGGCACUAAUAUUCACCAUGGCGCCGGCGGCACGUCGUUCUUUGCGAUGAGCCUCUACAGCCGUGUCCACCGCAUCUCAAUUCCCUAGAAAGAGAUGGUGGGGGGCAAUGGCGGGGUCAUGGCGUAAAGAAGGAGAAAAAAGAAUUCAACAAUAAAAAGACAAGAUGAGGCAGGGACGACUCACGGUUGAGAAGGAUGUCGACUUCGCCCGCCUCCUCCUCAACCUCGCGGUCCUGGACCGCACACUCCUAAGCCUGGCGAGCGAGCUUGUUCCCCAGGGCCUGUGUCGCCUUAACUUCCUUCGCCAGUUGAGCUUUCAUGUCCUUCAUGGCGGCGUCCUGCUGCGCCUUUUCGUCAAGGCGCAGCUUCUCCAAACGUUCAAGCUCGAUGGCUUGGGAGGCAUCCUUCCGCAACAUGUUGUCGUUGUGUCCGACGCGCAGCCGCUCCAGCUCCGUUUGAUGGGCCGCCUCGUGGUCCUUCUUCUCCAUCUGGAGAAGCUCUACUUCCUGACGUAGCCGGCCGCCCUCACCGCGCAAGGCGUCGCGCUCCGUGACGGCUCGGUCGAGCCGGCCUUGAAGGUCGCCUGUUUGUUCUAUGUAAUGAUCAUUGGCAUGAAUAAACAUUGCAUAACUAUGCGCUUUUAUACCAAUUUACCAACAAUAAUUUGUUUACCACCGUAUGCUUUUCUACCAAUUUAACAACAGUAAUAUGUUCACCCACCGUAUGUUUCCUACGGGAGACAAGCCUCUAGCGAAAACUAUCGCCCCGGGGUCUAUUCACAAAUAUAUUUACAAAAAUACUAAAUACUUCUUUGAAUUUUAUUAUUUGUAUUUAUUUUUUAUAUUUAAUAUAUUUUAGCUAUCUAUAUAUCACUACUUACCGUUUGCAAGUAACUAGUUCAAGGCGAUUGACAACCCUCUUGCUCGCGUUGGGUGCAAUUGUUUGCUAUUUUGUGUGUAGGCGCUGAACACAGGAAAAUGUGUCGUUCUUCUAUUGGUUUAAUAACCUUGGUUCUCACUGAGGAAAUACUUAUCUAUUCUCUGCUUCAUCAACUCCUCUUUGGGGAUAAAUCCAACGCAGAUCACAAUUAUCACGCGUGCGUUCCCACCCAACAUCGGCGGCCCACAUUCAUACCGAUGUAGAGCGGUCGCUCCGCAUUGAAGCCAUCCCGGAGCGGAUGUGGCAUCUCACUAGCACCGACGUUGAAGCGGUGCAUCGACCGACAGUGCCGCCCAUUGCACACCCGUGUGAGCAUGCCUCUUCGCUGCACUCAAACGCCUCUAUUAAACCCGCAUGUGUGCCAAGAAACCUAUUAUAGUAACAUGUCCAUUUGCGAGAUAGUCGGCCUUAAACACAACACCGGGAAAGCUCCCUGCGCCCGCCUGCUAUAUAAAGGAGGCCAGACGCUGGUAAAGGAUCGCACCACUCCUCCACUCCACAUCUCCCCCUUCCACCAUUUUCCCCCCCUUUCCAUGGCAUCCGACGAGUAGGAAGAGCAGUUGUCCAGUAUAAAAGUUGGUUGGGUGGCUCGCUGAGCCCUCUAGAUACGAACUAGGCAACUUGCUGCUCCUCCUCCCUCGCCGAGCUCGACAAAGAAAGUGGCCGCACCAAGCCGGCGCCUAGUUCAACAACUCUCUAUUCCAAGCCAGCUCACAGAGGAGUAGAGAGUUGCUCCAGACCGGCAUGGUGGAACUGACAUCAUGGCUGCCAUGGACGAGGCCAGGCGCCAAGCCAUCCAGCGUCGACUUUCGCGGAACCGCGUCGUGCUUGUGGACAAAGAAACUAGCUUGGAGAUUGACAAGGCUGCGGGGUUCGUGGGAGUUACCCGCAACUCUCAUACCAGUCGUGCAUGGCAAAAUUUUAGUCAUCGACUUGACUCAUUCCCGUAACCCACGGUGCCGCGCGGCGCAACGCGGCGCGGCGUGGCGAGGAGAGGCGGGCGACGGAGGAGCGCGCGUGUAUGUCUCUCUUGUUCUCAUGCUCAUACAUGUGUGAAACAUCAUCCCUUAUAAGGAGGUCCAACUCCUACCAAACUAGCAACGUGGGACUAAACUUUAGUUCCACCUCUUUCCUUGCACGAAUGGGAUAAGUGGGCCUCUAGGAUUUAUUGGAAAUUCUGAAGAAGAUCAUUGGGCUAGCCCAAAAUUAUUAAAUUCCAGCAAUCCCCCACCAGAUCCUAGAGGCACAAAAAAAUUGCCUUUGGUUCCAAAACACUGUUUAUAUACCGGUACUGCACAGGAGACUAUUAAGUUUAACUUCCACCUAGAACUAUAUGUUAUACUAGUAAGCAACUUGAAUAGUGGACUAUGCCUUGAACUGCAAGUUUUCUGUGAAUCUAGUUUCACAUAGAGCCUUGACUGAUACUAGGCUACCGUUGGUGGAGCUUAUGCGUCAUACUCCGAGGACUUUCAUAAGUUUACUAGAGAGCACCCUACUCUCAUAGAUUGCGAUGUUAACAAUCAGACUCAUGUAGGUGUGUUCUUCAAAAGAGUUCUGUAGGACAACAUCUCUGCUUCAACAAGACAUUUAGAACAUAUAAAGAUAUAUAUCAACCUUCCAUGCAUAUUAGGAAAGUAUUGCAUCUUCAUGGAGUGGUAUUAUCAAUGGUAAGGAUACUUUCCUCUCACUUGACCAACAACUUGUCUUCCACAUCUAAUUCACGGGAUCUCCGGUCACAUUGAAUAGUUUAGCACCGUGAACAACUCAUAUUGUGGGUCUCAUACCCAUCCCCUUCGAUGCAUUAUAUAUCACAUUACAAGAUAGACCCUUAGUAAAAGGAUAUGCCAAAUUUUUAGAUGUUUGGAUAUAAUCCAAUGAAAUAACUCCGGAGUUUCUCAUUUUCCUCACAGAGUUUAACCUUCACUGAACAUGUCUUGAUGACUUCAUGUUAUCCUAUGAACUACUCACUUUUGCACUUACAGUUUGAUUGUUGUGGUUCAUAAGAACACCUGGUGCAGGUUUCUCAACAAACUAUAAGUCAUUCAAGAGCCGACGAAGCCAAUCUUCUUCGCCAUAGCUGUAUCUAGUGUUGUGAGUUCUGCUUCCAUUGUUGACCUCGUUAAGAUUGUUUGCUUGCAAGACUUCCAAGAAACAGCGCCACCACCAUGAGUAAAUACAUAUCCGCUCGUGGCCUUUAUCUCAUCAGCAUGAGAGAUCCAGUUUGAGUCACUAUACCCUUCAAGUACCUUUGGGUACCGAGUGUAUUGAAUUCCAUAACUCGUAGUGCCCUUCAAAUAGCGCAUAACUCUUUCUAGAGCUUUCCAAUGAUCAUCUCCUGGUUUUGAGACAAACCGGCUCAGCUUGCUAGCAGCAAAAGAGAUGUCACGUCUCGUAGCGCUUGCUAAAUACAUGAGCGAGCCAAUUAUUUGGGAUUAUUUCAAUUGAUCUCUAGCAAUUAUUCGAUUCUUUCGAAGCAACACGCUAGCAUCAUAAGGUGUUGGAGAAGGCUUGCAGUUAGUAUAACCAAAGUGACUCAAGAGAUUUUCCACAUAGUGAGAAUGAAGCAAAGUAAUCGCACCGUCAUCACUUCUCAGCAGCUUGAUAUUCAGAAUAACAUUAGCUAAUCCUAAAUCCUUUAUCUCGAAACAACGAGAUAGGAAAUCCUUGACUUCCUUAAUAACAUUCAUAUUUGUUCCGAAAAUCAAUAUGUCUUCAACAUAUAAGCAGAGGAUAACUCCCUCGCCCCCACCAUGGCGAUAGUACACACAUUUGUCAGCUUCGUUUACAACAAAGCCUACACCUAUUAAAGUUCUUUCAAACUUCUCAUGCCACUUCUUAGGUGCUUGCUUAAGUCCAUACAAUGACUUCAAAAAUUUGCACACUUUUCCCUCAUGACCGUCCAUUAUAAAUCCAUAUGGUUGUUCCAUAUAAAUUUCCUCGUCCAACUCUCCAUUUAGGGAAGCAGUCUUAACUUCCAUUUGGUGGACGAGAAUACCAUGUGAAGCUCCUAGUGAAAGAAGUACUAGAAUAGUGGUCAGUCGAGCCAUAGGUGAGUAAGUGUCAAAGAAGUCUUCACCUUCCUUUUGGGUAUAACCUUUGGCCACGAGUCAUGCCUUGUACUUCUCAAUAGUACUAUCAGGCCUAAGAUUCUUCUUGAAUACCCAUUUGCAGCCUAUAGGUUUGCACACAUAGGGACAAUCAGUUAUCUCACAAGUUUCAUUUGCGAGGAUGGAAUCCAUCUCACUACAAACCGCUUCCUUCUAGUAGUCAGCAUCUUCAGAUACAUAAGCCUCUGAAAUAGAACUGGGAGUGUCUUUUAUGAGAUAUACAAGAAAAUCAUCACCAAAGGACUUUGUAGUCCUUUGACUCUUGCUCCUUUUAGGAUUCUCCUUGUUGUUCUCCACAGGAUCUUCAAGAUGUUGUGUUGCAAUAGUCGGUUCAGAAGGUGCACCUACAUCUUGACUCGAUAAGCUAGGCAUCUCCUGAUUUGAUGCGCUAGCCAUAUCCUUAAUGGGAAAUAUAUCUUCAAAGAAGGUCACAUCAUUCCACUCCAUGAUUGUGCCAACAUGCAUGUCAGAUACCUCAUAUUUUAUAAUCAAGAAUCUACAACCAAUGCUAUGAAAAUAUACCCCAGGAAAACAUAAUCCACAGUUUUUGGCCCAAGCUUUCGCUUCUUUGGAAUUGGUAUAUUGACUUUUGCCAAGCAGCCCGAAGUUCAUAGGUAAGAGAGUUUUAACCUUUUCUUCUCCCAUUCCUCAAAUGGAGUUAUCUCUUUGUUCUUUGUGGGAACUCGGUUUAGGACAUGACAUGCAGUCAAAAUCGCAUCCCCCACCAUGCCUUGGAGAGACCUGAUAUGACUAAAAUGGCGUUAACAAAAUCAGUUGGAGUGUGGUUCUUCAUUUCAGCUACCCCAUCUGACUGAGGUGAAUAGGGAGGCGUUCUCUCAUGGAUUAUACCAUGUUCGGCACAAAAAGAAUCAAAUUCAUUGAAAAAAUACUCUCCACCAUGAUCAGACCUAAGCCUCUUAAUUUUCUGAUCAAGUUUGUUUUCCACUUUAGCUUUAUAGAUCUUGAAGAAAUUCAAAGCCUCAUCUUUAGAUUUUAAAAGAUACAGAUGGUACCAUCUAGUGGAGUCAUCGAUUAAUGUCAUAAAAUAUGACUUUCCACCUUUCGUCAAAAACACUGUUCAUUUCACAAAGAUCUGAAUGUAUGAGUUGUAGUGGCGCAAGAUUUCUUGUUUCUGCAGUUGCAUGAGACUUACGAGGUUGCUUAGCUUGCACACAAACUUGACCCUUAGAUCCCUUGAUAGAAGUGAAGUUCAGGAUCAAGUUCAACUUGACUAGCCGCGUCAUAGAACCAAAAUUAACAUGACAAAGACGUGAAUGAAAGACAUUUGAUUCUCUAUUAUUGCAAACGUGAUUAAACCCUUUAUUACAAAACAUCUAAUAAAGAUAGUCUGAACAAGCCUCCUGACUCAUAACCUUUACCAAGAAAAGUUCCAUACUUGGAUAUAAAAUUUAUUGGACUGAAAGACAAACUUGUAGCCAUCUCAACAUAGAGGAGAUCCACUAACAAGAUUUUUAUUAUCGGAGGGUACAUAAUGCAUGUUCUUCAGCCGCAUUAUUUUUCCUGAAGUAAACUUCAGAUCGACCGUGCCAACACCACGAACAUAAGCACUUGAACCGUUUCCCGCCAGGAUGGAGGUAGUCCCUGCGGCCUGAUAUGAAGAAAACAUAGAAAUAUCACCGCAUAUAUGCACAUUAACACCCGUAUCAAUCAACCAAUCAGGAGAACGACAUAGUGAGAGAAUAGUGGGAAGUAUACCAUACCCAACAUCCUGCAUCUCAGCAUCACCAAUGAUAACAUUAGCAAUCUUGUCGCCUUUCCCAUGUUGACGCUUUUCAUAACGGUUAGGGCAACUAGGUGCCCAAUGAUGAGGAUCUCCGCAAACAUGACAAACACCUUUCUUUUUGUCAGUCUUCUUCUUGAGUGUGCUGUGAAGCCUUGUUCUUCCCAUCAAACUUUCCCUUACCAUCAAAUUUGCCCUUGUUAUUGAACUUGUGGGGUUGGAAGUUUUUCUUCUGCACCAGAUUGGCACUAGAACCUCCUUCCAUACCUCAAGCAUGUAUGUCUUGCCUUUUCUUCCACAUCAAGAUUACCAAUGAGAUCCGGAACGGAAAACUCCUUCCUCUUAUGAGUGGGAGAGGUAGCAAAGUUCCUCCAUGAAGGAGGAAGCUUAGUAAUAAUACCUCCGGCAACAAACUUCACCGGUAACAUACAAUUGAAGUUCUCAAGUUCUCCAGCAAAUGAUUGUAUCUCGUGAGCUUGUUCAACCACAGAACGCUCAUCAGUCAUCUUUAUUCAUAGAAUUGUUCCAUGAUAUACAGCUUAGUGCCAGCAUUCGAGACUCCAAACUUGGCCUCGAGCACGCUCCACAUAUCUUUCCAUUGUCAAUUGACGCAUAAGCAUCAACAAUGUUCUCACCAAGAAUACUCAAGAGAGCAUCCUUAAACAAGGUAUCAAUUUUCUGAAAAGCGAAUUCCUGUUGAGGAUCAAGAAUUCCUUCAGGUUUGCCAAGAGUGGCAUCGUAGCAGCUCAUGGUUUGAAACCAUAGAACAUCCCUUACACACCAUCUCUUAUAGUGCACACCCUCGAACAUAGGAGGCCUCAUGGAAGCAGCAAAACCACUCGGGGUAAAUUUCCUAAAAUAAGGUCUUCGGAUUGUUGGAAAUAUGAGCGAUUUACCAAGUGAUUUUACUAGCAGAAAUAGUAGAUGAAUCAUGACUACCAUAGCAAUUAUAAGACAAGCCAGUCGAUUAUACACAGAGUAUGCAAGUAGCAUAUGAAGUGAUGAGCAGGAACGAAACAUAUCUAGAAAAGAAACUAUAACAAGAAGUUGUGGCAGGAACUCAAACAAGAAGAACACGAGAACAUACUGAGUUGGAGCAGCAGCUAUAGUGGGAUUUGCGUUGACGUCGUCAUUGGCCAUGUUGCCGAAGAGGCUGUCGAUGUCGGGGAAGAAGUCGUCAUCCGGGAAGUAGUCGUCAGCGUUCGUGAUGGAAAAGCCAGUAGUCGCAUUGAGCGCUCCCCAAAAACCUUAUCGCCCUUCUCCAGUACAUGACUCAAAGAGACGGGGUUUCGGAGGCCUACUGUUCCGACCUGCGGUGCACGUCGCAAGCCGGGGCGGGGAAAAGCUAGCAGUAGCUCAGAGAUUGGAACUCGUUGGCAUGAGGAAGAUGGUAUUCUCGUGUGUCUCUCUGGAGAGGAGCGACCUGUCUUUUAUAGGCCCAUGAGAAGGAGGCAGGCACGCAACAUCGGGAGGCGAAGCAAAAGAGAUUGCAGUCAGGUUGAUAAUAGUCGAGUGACAUUACUUCGUCGGUCCAAACUAAGGAAUCUGUUAUAAAUGUUUUGAAAUAGAUAUUGUUCUCUCUUUGAUCAGGGAUUGCUAUAUGAAAAUAAGUGGAGUUUGAAAAAGGGAACGAAAUGCUCAAACCGGAACUGCUAGAGGAACGAAUUUUCAAUAGCAUAACUUGGGCUCCUAGAAUAUGGUGCCCUUGAGACAAUCUAUUUGAUUGCAGGGUUUUGUUCUGAAGCAAAGAUAUCCGCAGAGGACGGUUCGUUCGUCCUAUUCUGAUAUUCAGGACCAAGAGGUACUGCAUUCUCUGGCUGAAAUGCCAACGGAACUCUGUCUAUUCUCUAAUUCACCCGAUCCGAUAGUACCUGUUUUUGGAACGUCCAGUGCCAAAGUCAUUGAAUGGGUAAGUCACGAAUCCAAUCCCUUUGACAAAUCGGAUGUCAUAUUAUAUAUCAUAUCCUAUAUAUAUAUAUAGAAAUAUCAUAGAUACCCCGUUUCGUGACGAGGCGAGACGGGCGGCGGAGGAGGAGGAGCGUGCGUGUAUGUCUCUCUUGUUCUCAUGCUCAUACAUGUGUGGAAACAUCCUUUCUUAUAAGGAGGUCCAACUCCUACCAAACUAGCAAUGUGGGACUAAACUUUAGUCCCUCCUCUUGCCUUGCACGAGUGGGCUAAGUGGGCCUCUAGGAUUUAUUAGAAAUUCUGAAAAAGGUCAUUGGGCUGGCCCAAAAUUAUAAAAUUCUAGCACAUAAUUGGGGGGGGGGGUAUACCUCUGGGGCUCCCGAUAGUCCGAUGAGCAGGCUGCCGGACAUGAGGCAGACAAAGGGAUCCGCAGCGCUCGGCCAUAGAUUAGUGUAGGGUAUCCAUGUCGUUAGAAUGGAGCUCCACGCGACCAGACGUGCACAUAGUUUUACCUAUUUUAGUUCAAAUAUGUCCAAAAUGCAAUGAAUUUAGUCCGGUUUAUAUGAAAUCCGUUGUGUUUGCAUGAGUUUCAUCUGCUUUGUUGGAAAAGUGUUUGAAAUAUACUUCCUCCGUUCCAAAAUAUAAGACCUUUUAGGAAUUUCACUAUAAGACUACACACGGAGCAAAAUGAGUGAAUCUAUACUCUAAAAUAUGUCUAUGUACAUCCGUAUGUAGUUUAUAGUGCAAUCUCUAAAAGGUCUUAUAUUUAGGAACGGAGGGAGUAUGUGAGUAACGAUGGAUGACCGACAACACUCGAGAAUAUCAUUUUUGGUGGUGCUCCUCAGGUGCCGAGUCAUCACUUUCAAGGUGAAAACCUAAGGUCUAACUUUCGUUUUGUGCCUUAUAUUAGAGUAUUUAACCAAAAACCACCAUAAUUCAUGGAAACGUGCCUAGAAACUACUACUAUACGUUUUUGUGCCGAAAGCUACCAUUUUUAUCCUAAUCAGUGGCAAAAAACUACCAAGUGUGAAUAUUGCUCCAUUAGCCUCUUUGAAAUGCCUUUUAUCCUAAUCCGUUAACUACUCCAUUAACCUACCUGGCGCAGCCCCGCCGCCGUCGCCAUGGCCUCGCCCAAAGCGGCGGCCGCCCCGUGCCUCGCCGUCGGCAGGCCUCCUUGUCGCCGACCACGUCGCCGUCGGAUCCCGGCGUCCUGCGAACCGCCCCACGCUGCCAGUCUCCAUGCCCUCGCACCGAGCGGCGGCCGCCCCGCGCCUCGCGGCCGAAGGCCUCCCGUCGUGGACCCUGCCGUGGUUGGAUCCCACCGCCUCGCCUCCCUGGCGCAGCCUCGUUGCCCCGUGAACCGCCCCGCGCCGUCCAUCGCCAUGGCCUCGCCUCGAGCGGUCGUCGCCAGCGUCUCGCCGUCACCAGAUCCGGCAGGCGUCGCCCUGGUUCCGCCUCUCCCGGACCUCCCCGCCGCCCUGCUCAUGCCGGAGUGCUGCGUGUAGAUCGCGUCGUCUCCUCCAGAUCCGGUCGCACCGCCGCCGUACUUCAUCUUCUCCACCUCCGGUGAAGGCCGCCGCCGUCUCGAUCUCUUUCUCCGGUGACGGCAAACUUAACGGUGCUGACUUUUCCGUCCUGACAUGUGGGCCAACCCUGUCAUAAUGAGUUUAAACGAGCCAAAUGAGGCGUUUUGCAGACUUGAUUGUUUUUAGUCACAGAUUAGCAAAAAAAAAUUGAUAGUUUUUGGCGCAAAAACGAAUUGUGAUAGUUCCUGGGCACGUUGGCGUGAAUUGUAGUAGUUUUUGAUUAAAUACUCCUCAUAUUACCUUGAUGAAGGUAUUGUUUCGAGAGCUCGGUCUUUUUAAGGGAGAAAACCUAAGAUCUUGGAUCGGACGACGAUGACGCUUGUGCACCGAUUUUUUUUUAAAGGCAUCAUUUUUUAGGAUGGUUUGAGUGUCGCUGCUGCUGAGAAGAGUUGUUCACUGUGACGAGUAGUUGAAAAUGCUCUUACUAUUACAUUUUUCUUUCAAACACGUUACAGUUUACUCCCACCUCAAGUAGUUCCGAGCUACUGUACGUAGUAGCCACACACAUGGAGCGACUCACUCACCUCCAACCAAUUUAACUUUCGUGAAUCUUUGAUCGCUUUUCAUUUGGCCCAGCUCGACGUCACGCGGAUGUCCCCGAUGGAUCUCGCCGGCCACACGCCCCUCGACGACGACGAGAUGAGCAGCGUGUGAUCCUCGUCGCCCCGUCCAUCCAACCGAAGAUAAGACGCCCACUCCCUCCCCUCCACAUGGCACCCACCCUCCAAUCCCUUACUUAUUCCCGCCCCCCUCACUCCUCCAUCCCCUAGCUCCACCUCUCAUCCGCUCCUCAGCCACACCUAGAGCAUCUUAGCUCCAGCUAGCCACCAAUGGCCGCCGCACUGAGCCUCCGCGCGCCCUUCUCCGUGCGCGCUGUGGCGCCACCGGCGCCCCGCGUGGCCCUUGCGCCCGCGGCCCUCAGCCUCGCCGCCGCCAAGCAGGUGCGGGGAGCCAGGCUCCGCGCGCAGGCGACGUACAAGGUGAAGCUGGUGACGCCCGAGGGCGAGGUGGAGCUGGAGGUCCCCGACGACGUCUACAUCCUGGACCAGGCCGAGGAGGAGGGCAUCGACCUGCCCUACUCCUGCCGCGCCGGCUCCUGCUCCUCCUGCGCCGGCAAGUUGGUGUCCGGCGAGAUCGACCAGUCCGACCAGAGCUUCCUCGACGACGACCAGAUGGAGGCAGGGUGGGUGCUCACCUGCCACGCCUACCCCAAGUCCGACAUCGUCAUCGAGACCCACAAGGAGGAGGAGCUCACCGCAUAAGCUGCUUACCCUGCCUCUCUUUGCAACAAGAUCGAGCUGAUAUCAUAUUAUCUCCCAUCAUGCAUGCAUGCAUGGAUAUCGCCAGAUACACCGAUUUGUUUGUGCUCGAAUGAAUUGCUCGAUGCAUGGUUUGCUCCAGUAAUAAUGUCUUCGAAUUACUACCUUUUUGUACCGUAAGAUAUACUACUGUCGUAAUACUAGCGUGUACUUAAUUCAACGUACUGAAAUGAAUCCUGAUGGCUGAGGUGUCUCUCUGAUUAAUAAUAUCUUCUUUUUUACUUAAGAUAAGAGACUGCUGAAUGUUGGUUGCUAACGGUGGUGGUUGAUGUUGAAGUUUUGUUGCUGCAAGUUGAUUGCUUCGCCGCGUUAUGCCUUGCCUUGUUUCUCAUUUAUGUAUUUUUGAUGAUGCAUCGUCGCACUAGGUAGCUCUUGAAUUGUGUUUGGGGGCACCUUGAAAUUAAUAAACAGUAAGGUAGGUCACAAUGUCUUCAACCCCCUUUCUAGAAACCACUCUAACAUCAAAUAGAAUAUUACUCUAUUGAUUAGUACAGAGAUGCUAUAUACACUUUGUCACAGUUUGUACAGAGAUUGUAGGUGAAUGCAAUUGAAUUAAACCAUAUGUGACAUGCACCGUGAAGUCGAAACCUUGCAACAUAGUGUCAGAAAUAACAAAUCGAUGUCUUACUUCAUUAGAUGUGGAACCAUCUACCCUCGUUGUUGAUCAUCAUAAUGGUUUUAUAAACCCCCAACAUGUUGUGUUUUAAAACGAUUGUACCAUGUUCUUGUUUCGACUGCCGGGGGGAGGGCUCGUGAUGACCUACUCUUUCUCAAGUUAUCAUGUUAGUCACUUGGAUGACUUAGGCCCUGUUUGGAACUAUAAUACUCCCUCCGUUCCAUAAUAUAAGUCUUUUUAAAGAUUCCACUAAAAAACUACAUACAGAUGUAUAUAAACAUACUUUAGAGUGUAGAUUCACACAUUUUGCUCCGUAUGUAGUCCACUAGUGAAAUCGCUUAAAAGACUUAUAUUUAGGAACGGAGGGAGUAGAUUAUAAUAAUCUAGAUUAUGAAGAUAGAUUAUAUAAUCUGGUUUAUAAAAAUAAUCUAGAUGGACAUGUUUGGAGGCCGGAUUAUAUAAACUGUAAUCCAGAUUUUACAUUGCAUAAUGACCUGUCUGCCCUCUGUUUAAAAAAAAAAAAGGGUGGCGGUGGUAGGAAUGUAAUUAUCUCCAACUUUACAAGGGUAAUAGAUCAUUAGCAAUCCAUAAUCUGAUUUUAGCUGGUAUAGACUAGAUUAUGAGUUUUUAAUAAUAUAUCCAUCUAGUUUUUAUAAUCUACACCAUAAGCUGUCCUGUUUGAAGACAAAAUAGAUUAUAGAAACUGGAUUAUAUAAUCUGGAUGGUUCCAAACAGGGCCUUAGAUGGAGAUAAUGCACACCAUUGAAAAAAUUAUACUUAUAGAUAGGGUCACUUUAGUGGCUGGAAUAGUCUCGGACCUGUCACUCGUACUUCGGUCCAACAACGUACAUGCCAUUGCAAUUUACUGAGCAGGGAUUGCCGCCCGCCACUGAUUUUCUAGUCCCACAUUGGCCAUGGGGAAACCUUUUCAGUGGCGGGCGGUCGGGUACAACCUACCACUGGCAGUGAAGUUGUCACUGGCAGGCACCGGUUUCCUCCAACCAUUAGUGCACCACAUAUGUAAUUUUCUAAUUUCCUGCAUUUGUUUUUACAUUUUAGUGUGGUAUUCUUUUGUGACUUUGUUACUGUAUGAGAAUUGUUUGACCUUUGUAGUAUCUUUAUUUGCUAUAUUUUAGACAUUUUAUUAAUAAAGUUGUAUUUAAUUGAAUAUAAUUAUAUUUUUUGAACUACAACUAUAUAUUUUAAAUUACUUUCAAAGGUUCGAAGACAAAUAUUUAUGUCUCGUGAAACAAUAGUAUUGUUUCACCAAUAUUUGAGCAGUUUUUCAGCAUAUGUAGUUCAUAUUUAAUUUAUGUCCAUUAGAUAAACUAAAAAUGCAUUUAAUGCCCCAAAUAUAUCAUAUAAACCUAGAAACGCAUUUAAUGCCCCAAAUAUAUCAUAGAAAACUAGAAUAGUCCUGAAUUUGACCAAGGAACUUGUAAUGGUGUAUACCAAAAAUAAAAAAAGUUUCUGUUAAAAAAUGAUGAAAAAAUUGUGUUCCCAUUCAAACCCAACAUUUUCCCUUAGAAACGUUGAUACUUCCGUGGAGACUGUUAUUUCUACGUGAAGUGCAUCGGAUUUUUUCUGUGAGUCUCUAAUUUUGUUACCACACCUUCGGUUUCAUAUCAUGACACCAUGCAAAGUUCCAUCAUUUUCAAACUGAAUUUACAUCUAUGUAUAAAAAAAAUCAAUACUCUUAAUAGCUAGAAAUUGAUCUGAUGCUUAAAAAUAGCAAAUCAACCCAAAAGGUGAUAAAGUCUAUCAUGAGUCUUUAUGAAGUAAAUUCAACCCCACAAAAGGUGGAAAUUAAAUUCUACCCCUAAAGCAGUAAAGCAAACAUAUUGCAAAAAAUGCAAAAAAGUAGCGUGCGACCAUAAACACCCUCCAUUGAUUGAUUUUGGUCACAUUCCCGCGAGUGAGUGGGACAUGCCCGCACCUUCAACCUGCAAAUGUGGUUGCCUUAUCCCCCAUUGUCGACCUCUCCCAUCCGACUCUACCCAAUCCCUAGCUUGCAAUCACCAUUGCUGCACCCGUCGUUGUCGCCGGCGAGGGAAUCAUCGUCUUUUUCAUGGGUUGUCAUUGUUGCAACAACCCCGGUCAGCGUGGCCGAAAUGCCCACCCCAUGGCCUCCUCCACCAGCAAUGGUGGCCUAACCCGCUGCCACUAGCCUCCUCUUCCUCCAAGCCCGAUGCCUUUAACUCUCCCCAUGUCUCCUUGCGCGUCGGUGGCCCCAAUCUCCUGGUUGUAUUUUGCAAUUGCAAAGGACAUUGUAUUCGUUGUGAGAUACUUAAAUCUGUUGAAAGGAUAUCGAAUUCUAUAAGCAACAUGCUUCUUGCUUGUGGAAUGUGCAGGCUAUUCUUUCAUGGAAAAUUUGGUCUUAGGAUACUUGGGGAUAGGAAAUAGAGAAUUAAUCAAGGUAGAUUGUUGUUAAUCCAUUUUGCUUCAUAUCCUUCUAUUGAUGUAUGAUUAGCUCGUUCUUUCUAGACUACGCCAUAUACAUCAUUUCUUUAGCAAAUUUAUUUACUCCUGCUUGCAUAACUAUGUCGUAUGCAUCAUUAUGCUUAGCUCCUGCUUGCAAGAUUACUUGAGGAUAAUAGGAAGCAAUUAUGGUUUCAGAAUAAACCAAUCAGAAUAAGAAACACAUCCUCUAUACUCACAUCAUCUUUUAUACCUCAAUGCUUGUAGGUGUAGUGUUUUUUGCCCCAUGCAAAUUUGUGUUACGUCAUCUUUUAGAUACAAAUCAUGGUACCCUUGUUCCUGUCUUGACAUCAUGGUCAUGUUUUAAAAAAAGCAUUUUCUUAUUUAUGUUACACCCCACAUGUAUGUAUACAUAUAUUUCUUUUUUAUGUCUCUUUGAAGGUUGUUAGUGCCACAUGUAGGUGGGGUUGUAUUUUUUUAUUGGUGAAAGUUGUUGGUUCUACAUGUUGUGUCACCUUAUAUAAGGUGUAUUACACUUUAAAUAGUAAUGUGCAUAUCUCCAAAAUUUGUAGGGCUUCAAAAUGAGUGCCAAAAUUCUGGCGAAAUGUUGAUUUAUUUCCAUUUCACCACAUUUUGAGCACUCAAUAUUUUCAAUUUUUUUAGCAAAACUAUGCCCAACUUUUCCAAUGAUUCAUAAUUGUUUACCCUUAUUAUUUUAUAGAUGUACUGGCUAUACUAUAGUGUAUAAAUGAUGCGACGAACUAUGUGUUUUCUAUUUAAUUUCUCAACAUGAAUGUAUGCAAUCAACCAUGUAUACCCAUGAUGUGGUAACAUCAACGUAGGUGUGUGCCACAGGUGCUUAUCAACUCUAAGGAAUUCUACGUAGAUCUUGACGAGAACUUUCCACAGAGGAUUGUACGUUUUAAUUCAACAUGUGUUGUGGAUGCUGAAUUGCUCACAUAUAUAAAAUUACCCAAAAAAUGUCUAUUUUUCAUAUUUCUCCAUGCAUCCCUUGUUAUGCAAGGCUCACUUCCUACAUAAAGUGAACGUGCCAUAGAGGAGAAGGUUACAUUUGAGCUCAAGAUGAUCAUGUUAAAAAAUGGCACAACCUUCAACCUUACGGUCACCAACGAGGCACACGGAACCUUUCAGUUGCCCAUGUUGAAGAGGGAUUGCAACCGAAUAAAUGAUGCAAAAUGCGAAGGCAUUCUUGUUUUUUUAGCGAAGGCGUUCUUUGUCGUUUCUUGGCGAACAAGAUGAUGAUGACAACAUCUAUAUGUGGUUCACACCGCCCCCACCACCAUAGUUGUUCUUGGUGGAAGGAUUCGGAGUUCAUAGGCAUAGUUUUAUCAUGCACUUCAUUUAAUGCAUAUGUUAUAUCUUUUUAUAAUCAUCCAAAUUUAUUCCUCAAAUAACGGCUAUAUCAUUUAAAAUUAAAAGAGAAAUAGAGUUUAGGGGACUAGAAUCCCAAAUAGAAGAGGGUCUAUAGGUAAAACUAGUCUUUGCUAGAGAAUCUGCUAUUUUGCUUCCCAAAGCAAUGGGCAAAAGAUGUGCCAGCAAAGUCCAUCACCAGAAAAUAGCAUUCCACGAUAGUGGCUGCAUCUGGCUCGAAAUUAUUCGUAUGCCAGUUCACAACCUCCACAACUAGGAUACCCAUGAUGUUUCGAUAAUCACAUUAGGUUUCCAUCACAUUAUUGCACACAAUGUUUCCAGCCAAACGAGCCCUUUGCGAAUGGCACUUAACUCUAUCAAAUCGGCACUACUGACAUGAGGCAAAUACCAUGUAACAGUGAAUGACACUUAACUCUAUCAAAUCGGCACUACUAACAUUAGGCAAAUACCAUGUAGCAGUGAAUGGCACUUAACUCUAUCGAAUCGACACUAUCGACAUGAAGCAAAUACCACAUAGCAGCGAGAGAAAGUUGCCUUUGUCAUCACGUACAAUAGCUCCCAUCGCACUCGAUUGUGUUUCAUAACGGAAAGAAGCAUCCACACUAACAUUAACACUUCCCAUGUUAGGUCUCUUCCAUAUAUGAUAUUUUUUUCAUACAGCUGAUUUGAAGUUACUGCUCUUAUGAAAUCUUUGGCCAAAACAUUGAUAGAAACUGCUCCCUUUUAGGGUUUUGGAGAGUGUAGGAUCGAAAGUAUGUCUAGUGGAGGGGGCUUCAUUAGACUACUUGAUAAGAUAAAAACUGAACCUUUUUCCUAAUUUUAGUUGUGGGCUAGUUUUAGCAAUUAUGACUAGUCAAGUUCAUCCUACUCAUGCAUAUCUAAGAUUAUAGCAGCGGAAAGUAAAGACAUGCAAAUGUAAUGAAGAGGGUAAGGUAGGAAGAUCAAAUGCAAAGGUCGACACGGUGAUUUUUGGCGUGGUUCUGAUAGGUGGUGCUAUCGUACAUCCAUAUUAGUGGAGACUUCAACCCACGGAGGGUAACAGCUGCGAGAUUACACAAAGGGCUCCACCCACAAGGGCUCCACGAAGAAGCGGCCUUGUCCAUUCCACCAUGGCUUACGUCCACACAAGACUAACCUCACUCACGGUAGAUCUUCACGAAGUAGGCGAUAUCCUUGCCCUUACAAACUUCUUGGUUCAACUCCACAACAUGAAGUAGGAGGCUCCCAAGCGACACCUAACCAAUCUAGGAGGCACCACCCUCCAAAAGUUAAUAGAUGCAAUAGAAGGAUGAACUCCUUGCUCUUGUGCUUCAAAAGAUAGUCUCCUCAACACUCAAUCACUCUCUCAUAGAUUUUGCAUGGGUAGGAGAGAUUGAUCCCAUGGAAAGCAACUUGGGGAGGCUAGAGAUCAAGUUUCAAAUGGUUGAAUUGGAAUCUCUUGAUCUUAACACAUGCAUGAGUAGGUGGCUUUCUCUCAGAAAUAUGGAUCUGGCAAGUGGGUGUGUGUUCUCAGUGCUUCCUUUUCGAAUGCGAGGAGGUGGAGGGGUAUAUAUAGACAUCUCCCAGAAUCCAACCAUUACCACAUUAUUUCCCAAUGCGGUGACACCGAAAGGAAUCUUAGUGGUACCAAGUUGCAAUAAAUGUGGCACCUUUUGAAUUCUUGGUAGACCAAUAUAUGAAUCUCGAUGGUAAAGAUACGAUGAUCUAGACCAGUUUCCAAAUCUCGGUGAGACCAAUUCCAAUCUCGGAAAUUCUGAUUGUUGGAAUUUUCUCAACAGAAAGUUGGUCAUUGAAUCUCGGUGGCUCUCAUAUGAAAGUUUGUGGUACCGCCAGAUUAGAGUCUGGCAACGGAUCCAUUGGGUGGAAAAUUAGUAGGGCCAAGUGGAAAAUAUUGGUGGCACCGAUUUUGCUCGUUUAGCUUUGGACAGGGAUAUCUUGUGGGAGAAUGGCUUAGUAGUUUUGGUGGCUAUCUCUAAGCACUUGAGCAACCAAUUCACCGUAAUACCUCACCCCCUUUAAAUAGUAUUGGCCUUCCUAUGGACUCAAAGUGAUUUAUCACAUAUGUAAAAUGUAGAGUCUUCUUGCUUGAAGCUUGAGCUAAUCCUAUUCCUUCCUUCAUCAAGGGGUUUCUCCACACAAUCCUUUAGCCAAGGCAUCUUUGAACUUUUCUAAAAUAUACUUGGAUAACAUCAUUAGUCCAAUGAUGCAUAUGUUGUGAUCAAUUAUCAAAACCACCUUAGGGAGCAAUUGUGCUUUAAAUCUCUCCCUUUUUGGUAACUGACGACAACAUAUAGAUCAAAGCUUCAACAAAAGGUAUAAUCAAUUAUUAGCAUCGACGCUUUGAGAAGUACGUGGAAAGCAAGAGAUGCCCCUAUAUUUGUGCAUUAUUUUAUAUUUGCAUUGGAAUGCAAAUGCACAAUCGAUUAGGAUCAUGGGUCACUCUUCCAUGUCACAUAUAGCUUGGUGGUGCGCAUAAAUGAUAUGAAUAAAUAGUAAUGCACAUAACACCAAACAAGCAAGUGAAUGAUCAUCAAGUAGAUGGCUCCAAGGUAAUAACGUGGUAGCAGCAAUCAAACAAAGUAUAGAUCAAACACUUCUCCCAAACACAUAAAGUCAACCAAAAGACCAAAAAAUUGAAAAACCAAAUGAGACCAAAUAAAAUGCAAACCUCUCCCUCUCGAAGACUAUUUGAUCUAUACACUUGUCCUCCUUUGGCGACAAGUUACCAAAAAGUUUGAAGGUCUAGAACUAAUUAUCUCUCUGGCUUGAACUCCUCCGGUAGAUGAUGAUGGAGUGGAUAGGAGAGCGUCGAUGAAGGCUUUUGCACAUGUCCCUGGAGCUGGAGGUGUUGACACUAGAGGUGCAGGAGCAGGAGUUGAAGGUGCUAAAGCUUGAGCUGAUGAAGAUGGUCUUGCUUCCAGAACUGGCAUAGUUGUUGACCUAGUCUGGGUCGUGAACUGAGUAGUAGUAGGAAGAGGCGACUCUUCCUCAUCACUUCUAGAGCGGGAUAUAUGCACAGAAUCAACUUUAUGCUGGAGCUGCUCAACAGUGGUAGUCAACUCCGUUACCUUAACCUCCAAGUCAUGGAAUUUUGUCUCCACGAUCCUCUCAAGUCUCUUCUGGUUCAGCAAGAUCUCGGAAAUUUUCUUCUCCAUCCCUUGGAUGGUACUGACCAAGAAUGACAUCUGCUCAUCUCUGGUCCUGAGCUAUGCGGUUGAAGCUGGAGCAUUCCUAGCAGCCGCUGUCUCUGCUACCUCUGCUGCCGCUUGAGCUGUAGCUGAGCUAGGAUGGCUAGGGUCCAUCACAACUUCAUUAUCUUCAAACUCUGGCUGAAGUGGCAGGUGGGGACGAUCAAGUAGAUAUGCAUGCUUGCCAAUCUUGGCAUUGAUGAGCAUCUGAAUAUAUGGAGCAUAUCCACAGGAUUUCUUUUGAUCUACAGCAGUCUUCCUCACAUGCUCAACUAUCAAGUCCAUCAUUAUGAACCGGAAGUGGGUGUCUAGAUGAUCCAACAUGUUGAUGGAAUAACCUCUAAUAAUCUUAUCCUCUCCUGAUUUGGGCAUGAGGGUGUAUCUCAUAAUGGUGUUUGUAGUAGGUAUCCCUGCUUGCAAGAAAUAGACAAAUCCAAACUUGUACAUCUGCACAUAUUUAUGAGGCACUGGCUUGUACAUUUUGCCGUAGAGUUAUGAUUCAUCUUGGGUUCUGAGUACACAUCCAGAUCUCCUUCUUGUGCCUUUGGAUCACCAAUUGUAGUGGCUCACUCAUACAUAAUAGACUCAUACCGGUGACCUUCAGUCAUCCAUACAAUCCUUCCGUCAGAACAGAAAUUAGCGAUGGAAUAGAAUUGCAUGAUCAUCUCAUCAUUCCAAGCAGUCAUCUCUCUGCCAACAAAAUAUUUAAUAUCGACUAGCCUGAAGUUUUCUCUCACAUGGGGAAAAUAAUGCUCACUGGCCUUGAUAUAUUCCCAAUGGACAUAUCUCAUAUCGCUGACUGCAAGACUCUUAUCAUGAAACACACUCUCAUAGAAAUCUUGUUGCUCCUUUAUGUGAAAGCGGGGAUCAACAACAGUUCUCCGUCUCACAUCAUAUGGAUCAACUGAUCUCCACUUACUCACUCCUUGAUCUCUCCUCUUUUGUAUGUCCUGAGCAGUUGGUGAGCAACAUUGUGUAGUGGCAGAUGAGCUCAAAGCUUCAUUAGAACAGGGGCACCCUCUUCCUCUUCUACCGCAAACUCUCUGGAUGCAGAGCCUUUGUUCCUCUGUGCUGCAGGAAUGUCCUUGGUAGUCUUCUUGGGAGCUACAGACUUCUUAGGAGUUGAGAACUUCUUGGGAGCAGAAGGCUUCUUUGGCAUAGCAUCAACCAUCGGCUUUUUCUUCAUAGGAGGAGGGACCUUAUGUGGAAUUUAUUCCUCCUCCUCAUCAACAACUUCUUCUGGGUCUUCAUAUAUUGAGGUUGGCCUUCCAAUAACAUAGUCAAUUCUCUUUCUUGCUCUCGUAUGACAUGGCUUCUUUGCAAGCCUAGCUUCUGGAGCUUUCAUGUCAGAACGUAUGGCAUAUUCCUUCCUCACAGUCUUCCUGACUGCGGUCUUAUCUUUCUGCUUCUCAGGAACAGAUUCCUCUGGAAUAAAGUCAACAUCUUCUUCAUCCGAAUUGAUCUUCCUUCUGGACCUGGUAGCUGCCUUGGACAAGCUAUGGGAGCUAGGUGUCCCUGGGUCAGAAGGUGUCCUCCUAGGACUAGUGCCUGAAUCCAUCUCAGCACUUGGCUCAGUGAAGUUGUUCUGACUAUCCUCUGAUCCUGACAUACUGUCACAGAGCCAAGUAGACAAUCAAACCCUAUGAAUAGAUAUACAAGAUCUAGAAGGGAUGAGCAUCACAAAAAUCAGAAGUUUUGGAAAAAUCGAACUCUGAAAAGUUAGGUUUAACAUUUAGCAAAAAAGGAUUUGUGUUCCAUCGAGACAAAAAUUUCGGAGGCACCGAUACUGACGUACUAAUUAACAGAAACUUGGCACCCUUUUCCGUUCCACUGAAAAGGAGAACUCACUUUCACCGAGACCGUUCUCGGUAGCCCUAAAAAAUCGUUAAGACCAACUUUUCUAAAUCGGUGACACCGAGAUUCAAUCUUGCGGAUGGCUAACCCUAAGAAUUCCAUUGUUCUCUAAUCUAUGGAAUUUUUCUUCUAGAUAGGAUGAGUGUAGAAGUGGACAAAAUUCAUCAAAACCUUAAUGCACAAGAAUCAGAAUUGGAGCGCAUAAAGGGGUCGGAUCCGUACCCUAGCUUGGUGAUGUAUCCGCUACGGCAACGACGACGGUGAAGAUUCCUGUUGACAACGAAGACUCCGGUGGUGAGGGCGCACGUGAGAAUUAAGGCGAUGUCCACGGGACUAGGGCGCGGCAUCGAGGAUGUGCGUCACGCGACGUUUGAAGUGAUUUUCCAAUCAUCGGGUCCGUGAGAUAUAUAUAUCUCCUAGCUGUCGGUGACACCGAUAUGGAAUUUUUGGUGCCACCGAGUUCCACAACUGUCAACUGAAAGUGAAAAUAGGUGAGGCCGGAAAGAACAACUCAGUCAUACCAAGUUAAGAAAACCUGAUCAACCCUAGGCUUCGGUGGGACCGAGAUUUUGUGGUUGGUCACACCGAGAUGCAAUUUGGGAGGUUUUGGGAUUCAGCACUUGUCGAGACGGAUCUAUCAAGCACUUGUGUCCCUAAAGUUCUUGCUCAAAUUUUGUGUUGUAGCAUGAAUAGAAUUUGAGACGAGAAAGCAUAGAUAGCUAGAGGGAAGUACUUAGGCAUUCUUGUAUAUCCAAUUGGCCAAAUGAAAUAGAAAGACAAAUAACAACAAUUGGAUAUCCUCGAAUGAGAAAAAUAUGCAUACCAACAUGCUCACACAAUAAGGUGUCAAAUAAAACAUGGUGAACAUGCACGAACAUUCUAGCAUCUAUCAAGCACUUUGGCGAUAAGGAAUUCAUCUAUAUAUGAGUAUAUUGACAUAGGAGCCAAGUAAGAGUACUUGACAAUAGGUCAUACUCAUCGAUUAAGAACAAGUGGGGUUAUCACUUUUACAUAAAACAUUAAUGUGCUCACAUCAUUUAGGAGACGCUUAUACUCAAGUCUUAGAGUAAAGCUCCUCCUAGAUGUGACAACCCCCUAAGAGGGAUAAACUAACCUUAGGUUUUGUAGUAGAAGAUUUCAAGUAGGUGUAGUAGUGGUGCAUGCUCAUUGUUGAUAAAGAUCAUCUUUGAGUUGGGAGCAAUCCUAGUUGUUUCUUACCCUUCUCACCUACAUGGGUUAGUCCCAAAGCAAAAGGAAUGUAUGCAAGAAUAUCUAUGGACAUGGCAUGAAGUGCAUGAGAGGUGAUGUAAAAAUAUGCAUUAAUUACCUUGUCCUUUGCUUACCUUUGAGGUAAUGUGUGACUCCUUGAACUAAUGCAUAUGGUUGGAGUUGAUUGCAUAUAGUUCUUGCCAAAAUGAAUAAGAGUGAAUUUGAUUGGUAGAGUCACCCCCUCAAGAAGUUUCUAGUUCUUCAUCUUAGGGACCCACAUCAACUUGAUGGGGAUCCUUGGAGUUGUGAUAGCAGUAGAUGAGGUAGUGUUAGUUGUGUCCAUGGGAUUCCACUCGACCUUGGCUUGGGUUUCUUCCUCAAAUGAUUCAAUCUCCUCUUGAAGCUUUCCCUUGCCCUUGUGAUCUUGUGGUUGAAGGUCAUGUUGAGAGCUUGUUCCCUUGGGAAGAGUAGGAUCAUACUUUUCCUCUUGAGGAACGAACUUCGGUAUGGGAUAUAGACCUUCUUCCCAUUCAUCUCCGUUGGCAUUGAGGUAACCAACACCGUGCUUCUUCCGAUGUCCUCCUAGCUUGCGCAUAAUUUACUCGAAUUGCUAACUUUCGGCAAGACUCUUGAAGACACCUCUCUCUUCCUUUCCAUAAAUCAUUUUCUUUCUCAAGUGUAACUUGGCUAAGAGAAUCAUUAGUGGAAUCAAGAGAGCUACUAGAAACAACAUCAUUUGAUCUAACUUUAGCAUUUUGUUACUAGAUGAAGAAACUUUCUUGCAUUUGUUACUAGUGUUCUUAGGUUUGACUUGUGGAAUAAAAGUAGAUAAGAUUAAUCAUUUGAAUAGAUAAGAAUAACUCUUCUUCCGAAGAUCAUCAUUGAUUGCUCUUAGAAACUCAUGAUCUUGUCCUAAAUUUAGCUUCUCGAAGCAUAACUUCUCAUGAGUUCUUGCAAGCUCCCUUUGAUCUUCUAGAGUAGUUUCACGAGCUAACUUAAGAGUGUUAAAUACUUUAGUUAGUUGUUGAGUAUCUUUCUUAUCAUCAUCAUUCGAUUUCUCUUGACUAGCAUGAUUAUGUUCAAGUUCAUUUUCAAUGUUCUCACUAGUCUUAUCAAGGAGCAAGUCAUCUCCUCCUAACAAGUCAUCCUCAUCACUAUCAGAGUCAAAGUAAUUGGGGUGUGAUACCUUGGGGCCUUUUUCCAUGAAGUUGUUUCCAGUCCCUUCAUUUGGUGAAUCAAAUAAGUCAUAGGAGUUGGAGGAAACGAGUUCAAGACCGACAACACCUUCAUCUUGACUAUAGUCAGAGUUGGAGUGGUAGCUUCUCUCAGAUUGGUUGUCAGACUCGGAGCCGGAAAGCCUUUCACCAACAUGAUCUUGAUGUCUUGUUCUUGAGAUGCUCUUGGUGUACUUGUCCUUCCUCUCCAAUUCCUUUCCUCUCUGGGAGUGUCUUCGUUCAUAAUGAUCUUCUCUAAUCCUUCUCUUUGUGAGAGGUGACUCAUCUCUUGAGCUUCGUCUUCUAGGUGACUAUUCUCUUCUUUUGUGGGGAGCCGAGCACUCAUUGGAAUAGUGUCCUGGGUUUCCAUAGUUGUAGCAGUAUCGGUCACGACUAGACGAACGCUUCUCAUCAUGUAUUGAGCUUGAGCUUCUCUCCUUGCAUCUACUUUUGUAGAACUUGUUCAAUUUUAUGACCAUGAGGUUGAUCUCUUCAUUCGUAACAAAGUUGUCAUUUGAAGUAUCUUGAGUAUAACUUGAAACUCUGUAAGUACCGCUUGACUUGUUGUGCAACUCAUCUUUGUCCUUGAGUGACAUUUCAUGAGCAACAAUCCUUCCAAUAGCUUCAGUUGGCUUGAGAUCCUUGUAGUUUGGCAUCAUUUGAAUUAAUAUACACACGGUGUCGUAUCUUCCAUCCAAGGCUCUAAGUAUAUUCUUGAUGAUGAAUUAGUCGGUCAUCUCUUCACUUUCUAAGUCGGCAAUCUCAGCGACUCCCUCACCAUCCUUCAUCUUGAACUUGUCAAGAUGACUUUGAGGCACAUCCAACUUAGAUUCCAUGACAAAAUCAGCACCUUCGUGCAGAUGAAUCAAAGUAUCCCACGUGCAGAUGAAUCAAAGUAUCCCAAAUUUUCUUUGCAUUCUCAAGGCUUGAGAAUUUUAUUGCAACAUGUUCAAUUCUUCCGAUGUCGCAUCACGAUCCGGUUCCCUUGCUUCUCCAAAUAAAUCACCUUGCACACCAACACGAAUAACAGCCCAAACGGUAGGAUUAUGACCAAGAAUAUGCAUUUUCAUCUUAUGCUUCCAACUAGCGAAGUUUGUACCAUCGAAAUAUGCACCUCUACAGUGAUAAUUUCCCUCACUAGGCGCCAUACUCUCCUAGGUUGUGAAACCAAUGCAAUGGAGGCCAAAACUUUGAUACCACUUGUAGGAUCGAAAGGAUGUCUAGAGGGGGGAGGGUGAUUAAACUACUUGACAAGAUCAAAACUUAGCCUUUUCCCAAUUUUAGUUGUGGUCCAGUUUUAGAAACUACGAGUGGUCAAGUUCAGCCUACACAUGCAUAUCUAAGAGUAUAGAAGCGGAAAGUAAAUACAUGCAAAUGUAAUGUAGAGGGUAAGGUAGGAAGAUCAAACACAAAGGUUGACACAACUAUUUUUGGCGUGGUUCCGAUAGGUGGUGCUAUCAUACGUCCACAUUAGUGAAGACUUGAACCCAUGGAGGGUAAUGACUGCGAGAGUCCACGGAGGGCUCCACCCAUAAGGGGUCCACGAAGAAGCGGCCUUGUCUAUUCUACCAUGGCUUACAUCCACACAGGAGACAAGACUAGCCUCACUCACGGUACAUCUUCAUGAACUAGGCGAUCUCGUUGCCCUUACAAACUUCUUGGUUCAACUCCACAACACGAAGUAGGAGGAUCCCAAGCGACACCUAACCAAUCUAGGAGGCACCACCCUCCAAAAUGUAAUAGAUGCGGUAGAAUGAUGAACUCCUUGCUCUUGUGCUUCAAAAGAUAGUCUCAUCAACACUCAAUCACUCUCUCACAUAUUUGGCAUGGGUAGAAGAGAUUGAUCUUGUGGAAAAAACUUGGGGAGCCUACAGAUCAAGUUUCAAAUUGUUGAAUUGGAGUCUCUUGAUCUCAACAGAUCAGUAGGUUGCUCUCUCUCAGAAAUAUGGAUCUCGCAAGUGGGUGUAUGUUCUGAGUGCUUCCUCUAUGAAAUUGAGGAUGUGGAGGGGUAUAUAUAGGCAUCUCCCAAAAUCCAACCGUUACAACAUUAUUGCCCAACUCGGUGACAUUGAAAGGAAUCUUGGUGGUAUCGAGUUGCACUAAAUGUGGCAACUUUUGAAUUCUCGAUGAGACCAAUAUAUGAUCUCGGUGGUACCGAUACGAUGACCUAGACCAGUUUCCAAAUCUCAGCGAGACCGGCUCCAAUCUCGGAAAUUCUGAUUCUUGGAAUUUUCAUAACAGAAAGUUGGUCACUGAAUCUCGGUGGCACUGAUAUGAAAGUUGGUGGUACCGAGAGAUUAGGGUUUGGCAAAGGAUCUCUCUGGUGGAAAAUCAGUAGGGUCGAGUGGAAAAUAUUGGUGGCACUGAUUUUGCUGGUUUAGCUUUGGACAAAGAUAUAUUGUGGGAGAAUGGCUGAGUAUUUUUGGUGGCUAUCUCUAUGCACUUGAUCAACCAAUUCAUCAUAAUACCCCACCCCUUUUAAUAGUAUUGGGUUUCCUAUGGACUGAAAGUGAUUUCUCACAAAUGUAAAAUGUAGAGUCUUCUUGCUUGAAGCUUAAGCCAAUCCUAUUCCUUCCUUCAUCAAGGGGUUUCUCCUCACAAUCCUGUAGCCAAGGAAUCUUUGAAUUUUUUCCGAAAUAUACUUUGAUAAGCUCAUUAGUCCAAUGAUGCAUAUGUUUUGAUCAAUUAUCACGACCACCUUAGGGAACAAUUGUGCUUUCAGAGAGUUUCACCCCUCACAAACUGUUGUCGUUGCCACCAUAUAAACUAAGAAGCCACUACAAUCAGUUAUGAUGUUGGCAGCUCCCCUACUUUGGAUUGGUUUCUCUCUAAAACCUCAAUAGUUACAGAUCCUGACCGGUCCUCACAAACUGCCUUAUGGAUCACAUCUUUCACUCCAAGCUUUUUCCAAAUUCUAGAAGCACAACAAGAGGUGAAUAAGUAGUUAGAUAUCUUCAAACCCAACAUUGACUAGUAACAUGUAUGUGACAGCCAGUGAGCACUCCAAAGCAUGGUCGAAUUCCCCUCAGAACCUUCCAUGCAAAGGGUUUAACUUUGCGACAAACUCGAAGCCUUCAAGUAUGUUGUGUGUAAGUGUUAAACAUAAGAAAGUUGUUAAACUAAAUUGUGUUCUUAAUUUGUGCUAUAUAACUAGAUAUUGUGCCUUCUAUGAUACUACAAUUACUGUUAAACUGAAAAGCCCGCCACGACAACCAAAAAUGUUGACGUGUUCACUUGGCCUGACAAACAAUACUAGUGGCGGGCAUGUAUAAUAAACUGCCACUGGUACAAACAUUAGCAGUGGUGGACGCCCUGCCUGCCACUGAUGACUGGUUAGUAGCGACAGACACCCUUCACAAUAACCCUGCCAUUGGUAGGCAUUUUGUGUCUGCCACUGCUAGCCUGUUCUCCAGUAGUGACAAGGGUUUUCCUCCAAGACUAUAUCAUUCAUACCUAGUAUGCGUAGGAGUUAUCACCCGAUUUAAUGCAUGCAUGAUAGCAUGAAUCCUUUAGGGAUAAUUUGGAAGCAAGGUAAAGAAAAUGAGGGUAGCAAAUCCUCCCUUAUCACAUGAAUUUAAACAUCCCAUGUUAUUCACUUUAUUAAGUUGCCCCAUUUCAUUAAGUAAAAUUGUGCCCCUCAAAUUCACAAGAUUCCAAAGUUGUGGGAAUGAAAAGUACAAUGAGACGUCCAACUAAAUCAUAUAAUGUUUGUGAAUUUUGAAUCAAAGUUUUUUGAUUGUGCCACAGAAAGAACAAGAAUAUUAUUUACACUUUGUUUGAGCCAAUGCAAUUUUUCUUAUGUAAUGCAAGCAAAAUUGAAUCUGAAGGAGAAAAAUUUCCAAUAGGAUACGACUUUGGGGAUCAAAUAACACCCAUAGUAAAAAAGCAUAGGUCUAUUUAUAUCACAUCUAUAUUAUCUCACAUCUAAGUUAUGACAUCAGCGAAAGUCAAUGCUUUUCCAGCCCACCGCAUUUUCUUAUAUUUAUUUUUUUGCGACAUUUUUUCAUUCGUUUUUUUAUUGGAGCGUGCUAAAAAAUGCAAUAAGACUUGCCUAUGAAUCGAACUCAAGACUAGAUGGUGGUAGUUGAGAGCUCCCACCAGUAUAACCAUUACAUGCAUUUGAUAAAUUCUAAGCGGCAUAUCUUUAAGAAAAUACAACAGAGUUGAUAUUAGAAGAAAUUUUCAAGAAAAAUGUAAAAAAUUUUAAAUGUAAAAUAUUUCUGAAAACCAAAGAAAACUUGAAAUUUCCAAAGUAUUUUUCAAAUAUAAAUAAAGUUUGUAAUGCCAAACAUUUUUUGAAAAAUUAGAAAACAAUUUGAUAUUCCGAUUUUCUUAAAAAAGAUGACACUUUUUGAAAAAUUCCCGAACAAUUUAUAAAUCAGGUACACCUUUUAAAAUUCCAAUUCCUUUAAAAAACAUGGUUAAAUGAAUAUAUUUUUAUUGUAAUCAUAACUUUUCAACAAAUGUUUUUUUGCACCAUUAAAAGAAUGAGGGUGCAAAGAAUGUUCAUGUAGUUCACAAGAAUGUCCGUGAUGUUUAAUAAAAAUGUAUUAUACAAUGGAAAAUAAUCAUAACAUUCAAAUAAUUAUUAUUUACAAUCUUUUAAAAGAAACUUCACGCAUUUAGAAAAAUCAAAACAUUUUCUAGAAAAAAUAUUUGUCCGAUGUAAAAAAAAUGUUCACGUAUUUUUUUAAAAAUCAUACAAUUUAGAAAAAUGAUUUAAAAAAUGUUUACCAUGUAUUCUAAGAAUGCUUGGGCCUGUACUUGGAAAAAAAUAUUCAUCAUGCAUUUUUAAACAAUGGUAUGUGUGUUAAAAAAUGUUCCUAGUGUAUACAUGAAAAUGUACAAUGUGCAUUACAAAAGUUGACAUGUAUUUGUGAAAGCUAAAUUGCUCCCUAAGGUGGUUUUGAUAAUUAGUCACAUCAUAUGCAUCAUUGGACUAGUGAGUUUAUUCAAAUGCAUUUAAAAAAGUUCAAAGAUGCUUUGGCUAUAGGAUUCUGUGGAGAUACCCCUUUGAUGCAAGGAAGGAAUAUGAUUGGUUCAAGCUUCAAGCAAGAAGACUCUACAUUUUAUACUUUGUGAGAAAUCACUUUGAGUCCAUAGAAAAGCCAAUACUAUUAAAAAAGAGUGAGGUGUGAUGAUGAAUUGGUUGCUCAAGUGCUUAGAGAUAGCCACCAAAAAUACUGAGUCACUUUCCGACAAAAUAUAUAUGUCCUAAGCCACAUAAGCAAAAUCGAUGCCACCAACAUUUCCUACUCGUCCAUACCGAUUUUACACUUAGACAAAUUAUAUGCCAAACCCAUCAUCUCGGUACAACCAACAUUCCUAUCGGUGCCACCGAGAUUUGGUGACCAACAUUCUGUUGAGAUGAUUUCAAGUUUCGGAUUUUUUGAGUUUGAAUUUUGUCUCACCGAGUUUUGGAAACCAGUCUAGGUCAUCGUAUCGGUACCACCAAGAUUCUUAUAUCGGUCUCACCGAGAAUUCAAAAGUUGCCACAUUUAGUGCAACUUGGUACCACUGAGAUUCUUUUUGGUGUCACCGAGUUGGGCAAUACUGUUGUAACGGUUGGAUUUUGGGGGAUGCUUAUAUAUACCCCUCCACCUACCUCUCAUUCGUAGAGGAAGCACUCAGAACACACUUACACUUGUGAUAUCCAUUUUUCUGAGAGAGAGACACCUACUCAUGUGUUGAGAUCAAGAGAUUCCAAUCCAUUCAUUUGAACCUUGAUUUCUAGCCUUCCCAAGUUGCUUUCCACAAAAUCAAUCUCUCUUACCCAUGCCAAAUCUAUGAGAGAGUGAUUGAGUGUUGAGGAGACUAUCUUUUGAAGCACAAGAGCAAGGAGUUCAUCGUUCUACCACAUUGAUUACCUUUUGGAGGGUGGUGCCUCCUAGAUAGGUUAGGUGUCUCUUGGGAGCCUCUUACUUCGUAUUGUGGAGUUGAACCAAGAUGUUUGUAAAGGCAAGGAGAUCGCCUACUUCAUGAAGAUGUACCGUGAGUGAGGCUAGUCCUUCGUGGGCGGAAGCCGUGGUGGAAUAGACAAGGUCACUUCUUCGUGGACCCCUUGUGGGUGGAGCCCUCCGUGGACUCUCGCAGCCGUUACCCUCCAUGGGUUGUAGUCUCCACUAACAUGGACGUACGAUAACGCCACCUACCGGAACCAUGCUAAAAAUCUCCGUGUCAACCUUUGUGUUUGAUCUCCCUACCUCACCCUCUACUUUUUUUUGAUGGGAAACUGUAAGCAAAACCCCUCACAACGAGUUUUUUUUGAAAUAAUAAGAACUCAAAUUCGCGCCCGUGGGGACUUGAACGUGGGUGGCUGGGUUGUACAUCUACUCCACUAGACAAGUGAGCUAGGCUCACUUCCUUUACUCUUGCAUGUUUUACUUUCCGCUGCUAUACUCUUAGAUAUGCAUGUGUAGGGUUUACUUGACUAGUUAUAGUUGCUAAAACUGUCCCACACUUCAAAUUGGGAAACAACUAAGUUUUUAUCUUGUCAAGUAGUCUAAUCACCCCGCCUCUAGACAUACUUUCGAUCCUACAAUUUGGAAAAAUAACUAUAUAGGGGUACUGGGUUGGGAAUGAUUUGCAUGAGGAGAGUGGACAUGCAACUAUGUCGGACAUGAGCUGCAUGACUGAGUCGGGUGGGUUUACGUGUUGGGGUGGAAUGGAACUAGAUAGGGGCCGAGGCAAGUUGCGUGUUGAAAAACAAAACACAAGCUUACUUGUGCAUUAAGGGUGGACUUGCAAUUGGAAGAAGAGCUAGGUUGUGAGUGGAGGAUAGACUUACAUAUGGGACAACUACAAAUUGAGACCAAUUGCGUGUCAAUGGUUGACUUAAAACUGGGAUAAAACAAACUAUGGUUCAAGUUGCGAGUUAACGGUGGAUUUGCAACUAGGAUGAUGACAAAAAUAUAGGCUCACUUGCGAGUCAUUUGUGGGCUUGCAACUGGAAUAAAACAAACUAUGAGACUAGUUGCGAGUCGAUGUUGGACUUAUAACCGAGACAAGCAUAUAAACUAUGAUACGAGUUGAGAGUUGAGAGUAAACUUGCAAUUGAGAUGAAAAACAAAACACAUACCCAAUUGCGUGUCGAGGAUGGACUUGUAACUGAGAAAACAAAAAUAUGGGCCCGACUGCGAAUCGAGGAUGGACUUGCAACAGGGACAACAAAAAAACUAUGAUCCCACUUGUGAUUCGAGGACAAACUUGCAAUUGAGGCCCCUACAAGUACAAAGCCCUUAGUUACGAGUUGAGGUUGGAUUCGCAACUCGGGAAACUACAGGUACAGAAAGCCCAGUUGCGAGUCGAGGAUGGACUUGGAACCUUGAAAAUACGACUACAAAAAAGCCUCUGUUCCGAUUUGAGGGUGGACUUGCAACUGGGGCAACUACAUGUACAAAAAGGUCCCAGUUGUGAGUCGAGGGUAGAUUUUCAACUACGAUAACUACAGGUACAAACCUCGAGUUACGAGUCAACGGUGGACUUGCUACUAGGGUACCUAAAAUUACAACGCCUCGAGUUACGAGUCGGCGAUGGAGUUGAAGCUGGUGCACCUACAACUACAAAGCCUCGAGUUGCGAGUUGAGGAUGGACUUGCAACUAGAUUAACUACAAAGUACAAAAGAAAACCAGUUGUGAGUCAAGGGUUGACUUGCAACUAAGACAUCCACAGUUACACAAAAACCCCUAGUUGCAAAUCAAGGAUGGACUUGCAAGUGGAGCAACAAUAGGUACAAAGCCAGUUGUGAGUCGAUGGUAGACUUGCAACUUGGCCAACCACAACUACAAUACCUUCAAAAGAAGGGUGAAACUAUGAAAUUGGGAUGAAACCAACUAUGGGACCAGCUGCGUGUCGAGGGUGGACCUGGAACCGGGAUAAGAAAAAAAGUACAAGCUCAAGUUGUGAACCGAUGAUGGGGUUGAAACUCGAACAACUACAGGUUCAGUUACGAGUCGAUGAUGACUCCAAACUUGCACAACUACAAAACUAGGAGCCCAGUUGCGAGUCAUGGGUUGAUUUGCAACUAGGAUAAAACAAACUACUGGACCAGUUGCGAGUCAAGGGUGGACCUGCAACCGGCAUGAGAAACUAAACACAGUCUGAGUUGCGGCUCAAGGGUGGGCUUGAAACUGCUAUGAAACAAACUUCAUGCCUAGUUGCGAGGUCAGGAUGUACUUGUAACUGGGACAACUACAUGAAACUAAGAUAUGAGUUGCAAGUCGAGGGUGGACUUGCAACACGGACAAACUACACAAAACUACGAUACGAGUUGUAGUCGCGAGGGUGAACUUGUAACUGGGACAACUACAAAACUACGAGUCGAGUUGCAAUUCAAGUAUAUCAUUGCAAUUGGGAUGAAACAAACUACGGGCCUAAUUGCGAGUCAAGGGUGAACCUGUAACUGGGAUGAAAAACUACACAUAGACCGAGUUGCGAGUCAAGACUAGACUUGCAUCUAGGAUGAAAUAAACUACGGGCCUAGUUGUGAGUCAAGUGAGUACUUGCAACUCGGGAAAAUACACAAAACGACUACGAGUAGCGAUUCAACAGUUGACUUGCAACUCGGACAACUAAAUGAAACUACGAUAAGCGUUGCGAGUCCAGGGUAGACUUGCAGCUGGGACAACAAUAAGGCUAUGGGCUCAGUUGCGAUUCGAAGGCAAAUUUGCAAUUGGGACAACUACGAAACCAUGAGCCCAGUUGUGAGUCAAGGGUGAACUUGCAACCAGGAUGAAACAAACUACAUGCCUAGUUGCGAGGCAAGGGAGGACUUGCAACUCGGCAAGUACACAAAACUACCAUACUAUUUGGGAGUCAAGGAUGGACUUGCAACCGAAACAAUAACAAACUACGAGCCCAGUUACGAGUUGAAUGUGGACUUGCAACUAGGAUGAGAAAAACACAUAAUGAUUUAUGAGUUUAGGGUAAACUUGUAACUAGGAAAACUAAAAAUUCAUUUACGAGUUAAAGAUGGACUCUACAAAUUCUCGGUCAUGCCAAAAAAACACACAACGAAAAUGAACAAAAAAUAUAAAGGGAUCGCGCCUCCCAAGCAACGAUAAAAGUAACAUGAGAACAUGCGAGCAUAAAACAAAAUGGAACAAGAGGACGCGCGACAAGAGAGAAAGAGCUGACACGGACGCACAUGAUCGACUUUGUGCAAACAUCAAACAAAUCAGAUGAUUAUAACUUGAUAAGACAUCACUAAAUCUCAUCUAAAUAAGAUUUAGCAAAUCUAAAAAAUAUCUAGUUACACUCUCCUCUACUACACAGUCAAACUAAAAUAAACAUAUAACCCACAAAAAGCUAGUACACACAACGUAAAAGGGCACACUAAAAAAAGUCAUAUAUGACCUCACUGCUUAACGAGGAGCGAAUGAAAAACACGACACAUCAACAAUGAAAGUGAAUCAUAAGCAUAUGAAUCAGAUGAGACGUUGUUAACUCACAUUUACUCCCUCCGUACCUAAAUAUAAGUCUUUUAAUAUAUUUCAUUAGGUGUCUACAUACAAAGCAAAAUGAAUGAAUCUAUACUCUAAAACAUGUCUAUAUACAUUUGUAUGUAGUCCAUUAGUGCAACAUCUAGAAAGACUUAUAUUUAGGAACGGAGGGAGUAGAUGAGAAUUAGACGUGAGUUAACAAAAACAAUAAAAAAAGAAACCCCUGGAUCAUACCGUAGUGACCCACCAAAUGACGCACGUAGAAGUAGGUAAGUAAGUAAGUAUCUUGGAUUACCUGCGAUAGUGGGAGCAGAUAGGAGUGAAAGCUUUGAAUACUUUUGUGACAAAAUCAAGAAGCUUCUGAAGGGGUGGAUGGAAAAGCAACUGUCAACAGGAGGGAAAGAAAUCUUGUUAAAAGCAGUGGCUCAAUCCAUCCCUGUCUUCGCUAUGUCAGUUUUCUGUUUGCCUAAGGGAACUUGCAAGGAUAUCACGGAUGUAAUUGCUCAGUAUUGGUGGGGAGAUGAUGAAGAAAACAAAAAAAUGCACUGGUUCUCGUGGUGGAAACUAUGCAUCCGAAGUGUGAUGGUGGCAUGGGUUUCCGCGAUCUUCACUCUUUUAACUUGGCCCUUCUUGCGAAACAAUGUUGGAGAUUGAUCACAAGGUCGGAGUCCAUCUGUGCUCGCAUCUUGAAGGCAAAAUACUACCCAAAUACAGACUUGCUACACGCUGGACCAAAGAGCGGAUCUUCGUUCACAUGGCAAAGCUUGAUGGCGGGCUUGACUGCGUUUAAAAGAGGGUACAUUUGGCGAAUUGGUUCGAGGGAAAAUGUAAGUAUAUGGAAUGAUCCAUGGAUACCCUCAAGCCCGGACAGAAGGGUGAUAACUCCUCGGCGGCAGAUUCUGAUUUCGAGGGUGGUAGAGCUCAUUGAUCCAGUCACCGGCCAAUGGGAUGAACAAUUGAUACGAGACAUCUUUUACCCAGUCGAUGCAAACAGAAUCUUGCAGAUACCUUUAAAUUUUCAAGCAUUUGAUGACUUCAUUGCGUGGCACCUCACAAGGAAUGGUAUUUUCUCGGUGAGGAGUGCUUAUCAUGAACAAUGGUCACAUAAGCUCAGGGGUCAAUCCCUUGUGAAUUCAGUGUCCACCAGUACUAUGCAGGCAGCUAUUUGGAAGAAGCUCUGGGAGUUACAAGUGCCAUGGAAAAUACAGAUUUUCUUUUGGCGGGCGUUGCGUGGAAUUGUACCACUAAAAUCCAUUCUUGCUAAUAAGCACAUCCCUAUUGAUGGGGAGUGUCCGGUGUGCCAUAGGGGACCUGAAGACAUGCGGCAUAUGUUAUUCCAGUGUGAUUUGGCGAGAAGGUUGUGUGCUGGACUAGGGCUGAUUGAUCGUAUUGAACAAGCAGUUCAAGUGGAUCGCUCAGGGUCAGCCAUCUUAGAAUUUCUCCUACUAGAGCUGGACCAACCAAUGUCGAUCAUGUCAAGUAUUAAUGACAAAGAGGUAAUAGCGGCUGGCUGCUGGUAUCUCUGGUGGCUCCGCCGGCGACACACCCAUCAUGAUUCUUGCCCUCCAUCCUUCAGGUGGCAUACCUCAAUUCUAGCAAUAGUGGGAAAUUACAUAAAAUCUUUAUCAAAGAAGAGGGAACCGGUGGAACACAAGUGGAAGAGACCAGAGGCAAGAUUUAUAAAGCUAAAUGUGGAUGCUUCAUUCCAUUCAGAUGAAGGAUCGAGUUCUACUGCAGGUAUCUUACGAGAUGAAAAGGGUGGCUUUAUUGCAGGGUUUUGCAGAUUCAUUCCCUUUGCAGCUGACGUUGUCACGAUUGAAGCAAUGGCAAUGCGAGAUGGUUUACAUUUGGUGAACUCCUUGGGCUUUAACAGGGUAGAAGCGGAAUCAGAUUCUUUGAGCGUCAUCAAGUGUUGCCAAGGGCAAGAUCAGUGGUGGGAUGCAGCAGCGGCUGUCUUUGCUGAGUGCAUAGAUAUGGCUACAUCUAUAGGAAAGGUCAUCUUUUCUCAUUGUUUUCGUGAAGCUAAUUCAGUAGCUCAUGAGCUAGCAAAGUUUAGUUUCUGUAAUAAAGUUGAGCACAAUUGGACUAAUGAACCUCCUGAGUUCUUAGUUAGCCAAUUGAUGAAUGAUGUUUUGAUUAUUUGAGUUAAUAAAGCUAGCCAUGAUGGCCUUUCCUCAAAAGAAAAAAGGAAACGCAUGUACGCGACACUAGAUGCAGCAACAAAAUAAUCCAUGAUUAAGAUUUGAAAAAAUGUAAAACAAACAGAUGAGAGUAUGUUUUUCAUGAAUAUUAAAAAAAAUGGAAAACAAGAAAAUACAAAUAUAAAUAAAAGAAAACCAGGAAACUAAAAUACUUGAUAAUUUGAAACAAAUAAUAAAACAGAAAAAAGAAAAAGAAAAAGAAGAAACAACAAAAGUAAUGCGGCAGCCGAUAUAGGCUACAGCCCAUAUAACAAGAAGAACCUAUAGGUACGAGGGCAGCUACCUAACAUACCGUUGGCGAUCCUAAAAAAAGUGAUCCUCAAACGCAACAUUCGUUUCUUCAAAAACAGGGUUGGGGGGGGGGGGAUAACAUAGUGUAUGAAACAGAACUACUAGACGGAUGAAAAAAGCAAAUCAAUCCGUGGUUGGAUGAUUGGAGAGACAGUGAUAUCCCAGCACAUCAGGGUUUAAAUCCUGAUGCUACACUAUUUUUAAAUUUAUUUCAGGAUUUCCGACAAUAUGCUUUCAGUGGGAGGAGACAUUCCCGUCGAGGAUAAGAUGCCUACAGUGACUUUGUAAAUCUCAAGACGAUAUACUCGCUCAGUCUUUGAGAGAUGUUCAUAGGGAUAAGAUGUGUGUAUGUUCGGUUUAGGAGUUAAAUCUGAGAUAAGUAUUUUACAUCUAGAUGUGAAAUAGCAAUUUCAAAAAUUCAUAUGAAAAAUCUCUGAAUGAAAAAGACUCAUUAACUUAGAAACUCCAUGCAAAAAUACAAGGCUAACUUUUUUUCUCUUAAAUAAAAAAGAAAAAUAGAGAAAAAUGACGGAGGAUAACACUUGGCAGUGGGCGGGUGAAACACAUCACAAUUUUAUUUUCAAAUUGAUCUCUAACCAGGAAAAUACCCCGCGCAUACAACCAAGACCACGCACUCACCCCAUCGCAUGGCCUCCACACGCCUUGUCGAUAUCCAUGGUGGCAUCUAGCGCCGGCCGGGUGGCACGGAUCCCCCUUCACUCCCUCAGCGUGUGAACGUCGUCGCUCCAGCCCAACCGUUGCUCGUGUUCAGGAUAAGCUGCCCAGCUCGUCCGCCCUUCUUAUUGCCGCUGCUUCUCAGCUCACACGCUCCAACACUAUCCUCUCGUGUCUCGUCGAGCUAUCUGUCCACGGAGUAGUACCUUCCCGAGCUAGCUCGCAGCUCCGCCGCAAUGGCCACCGUGGUGAGCAGCCUCCGCUUGCCCUUCUCCGUCUGCGCCGCCGCCCCCUCGGCGCCCAUGGCAUCCCGCGUCGCGCUCCCGCUGUCGUCGACGGCUGCCAGGGGCAUGAGGCUCCGCGCGCAGGCGACGUACAAGGUGAAGCUGAUCACGCCGGAGGGCGAGGUGGACCUCGAGGUCCCCGACGACGUCUACAUCCUCGACCACGCCGAGGAGGAAGGGAUCGACCUGCCCUACUCCUGCCGCGCCGGCUCCUGCUCCUCCUGCGCCGGGAAGGUGGUCUCCGGCCAGCUGGACCAGUCCGACCAGAGCUUCCUCGACGACGACCAGAUCGAGGCGGGGUGGGUGCUCACCUGCGCCGCGUACCCCACCUCGGACCUCGUCAUCGAGACACACAAGGAGGAGGAGCUCACCGCUUGAAUUCACUGAUUUUGUGUAUUUCCAUCCGUUUCCGGCGUGCGCGUGUAUAUGCACGAUGCAUGAACUGUAUCAGGAUAUUGAGGAGUUACAGAGUAAUUAGUACUUGCUG